This 57639-nucleotide long non-coding RNA is filed under the name Capsella rubella. Its description in RNAcentral is "long non-coding RNA (CRUB_LNC001671)". Lineage: Eukaryota; Viridiplantae; Streptophyta; Magnoliopsida; Brassicales; Brassicaceae. The record is from RNAcentral.
GCAGGUCUAAUAUUCCUUAUUAGUGCAUGCAUGCAGAUAGAUGUAUAGACGUUCCAUUAGCGCUAGCUGUAAAUACAAUUUCCGUAAAUCUCUAUAUAUAUUCUGAAGCUUAGUUUAGUUGAGUAUGUAUAACUAUCUCAUCUUCUUCCAAAAGCAUUGAUCAUCUUCUUCAUUUAACCAAAAAAAAAAAAAAAAAAAACUCAUCUUCUUCAAAUUAAGAGAAAUCUCCAAGUCUUGAAGCUUCAACAAUGGGUUCUUUUACCAAGAUGCAACUUCUAAGUUUGAUUUUUCUACUCGUGGCUCCAGCACUCUCCCUCGAUCAGGUAACUUGUAAACAAAUUGUGUAAUUAUCAAAUUAUAUAAUUAUCAAAAAAAAAAAAAUUGUGUAAUUAUAUAUAUAAUUAAGUUUUUUUUUUUGUUAUGAUUGAAGCUUAUUGAACCACGGAUAUUUUGUUUUGAAUGUGUAACAAAAAAAACUGGAACUUUCGAUGACAUAUAUAUUACAUCUUUGCAAAUAUACAUUUUUAAAAGAAUUUAAAUUACCAACACCGAUCGAUAAUCUGAUUUAAAAUAUUUUUUCUCUACACGUUUGUUUAUAUCUAAUUAAAUUCUAGCUUUAUAUUCCCAUGGCAAAUAAUAAUAUAUAUAUAUAUGGACAACAAUAAGAAAUGAUCAAAGUAAUUUUUUGUAUCCUUCUAAUUAGCAGAGAAAAGCUUCGAAUAUACUAAUUUUUGACUUUUUGUUGUUGCUGUUUAGUGUUUGCAAAACAAAUUAAUACGGUCAAGUUGUAAUUGACUUUGCAAAUAGAGCCCAUAAAUUAGUCAAAAGUUAAUUUAAUAAUAAUCUAUAAGCUAACUGUUAAGUCUCCGUUCGCCUACGACUUUCUCUCUAUUCCAUCACCUACGACUUUCUCUCUAUGGUUCAACCUAAGAUCUACUUGAUGUGUCUCCUUGCUUAUUGAGUUUAGGCCUUUAAGGCCUUUUAUUUUAACUAUAGCCAUAAACUAUCUACUAAAGUCGGGCUGGGCUUUUGUAUUGUUAUCCUUUUCUGCAUUUUUAAUAGAAAGUCUGUUUCGAAAACAAAAAAAAAACUGUUAAGUCUCCGUUAAAUUCUUUAUUUUCUUCCUCUCCGGUGUUUCAACAAGAAUCUGCUUCCUUUAAACACCGACGCUUCGAGAUCUGAAAUGAUCCGAUUUCAUCGUUAUUGUUCAAAACCGGAGGGAGAUGUCUUCCUAGUUUCUCUCCUUUUCAACUUAGGGUUUCAUUCGAUUUCAGCCUACCUUGAAAGUUGCCCUUUUUUAUGAUUCUUUUUUUUUUAUAACUAUUUUCGAAUUUGAUGAUUAGAAUCAGAAUUUUGAAUACUCUCAUCAGCCAAAAAAUUAUUUCCGUGUUUGUCUUCGGUUCACUAAAACUGUUGAAAUAUGAGAAGAAAAAAGUAAAGUUAUCAACUUUACCAAUUAGCUCUGAGCUUUGGUUUGUUACUUCCGACGGACCAUGUUCUUUGAAAAGUUGGUUUAUUUCUCCAGUUAAAAUUAUUUUUGGGAAUUUUAAAGAAACUACCACAUUUCAUUUUUUUCUUUUGAAAUCUACCACAUUUUAAAAAUCUUUUCUACACUACCACUUUCAUAAAGAGAAAAAGACUAUUUUACCCUAUACCUUAUCAUCUCUCAUUUCUCUCCCAAACUCCACGACACCAACAAAACCAAAAAACCUCAUUGUCCUCUCUUUCUCUUGCUAACUCAACUUCUCUCUCACUUUCCAACAAAACCUCCAUUUUAUCUCUGCUAAUUUUUUAAAAUUUACCAUUUUUUGUUCUUCCUCACAAUCAAAUCAAAUCGAUUUCACAUGAUUCCGCCGCCCUCCAUUUAUCAACGUAGAUUGACCAAAAUCGAUGGAGUUCUCCUUAUUCCCCCUCUUCUCAAGAUCUUCUUUCAACUUGGUAAGUAUCUAUUCUUCUUAUGUUUUAUGAUUCAAACCGAUUUGAUUAAUAAGUUUGUUUUUAUUUAAAAUCCAUUGGAUAGAAAUAUGUGAAAAAGAAGAUGAGAACCAGAUCUAGAAAUUUGUCCACGAGAAAAUAUAUAUAAAUCAUAUGUCCACCAUAAGAAUUAAUUUUUGAUCGACAUAUUGUCUAUAAAAAUUAUCAAUUGUAUAACAAUGAGUUUAUGAAAAUAUUUUCAAUAAUAACUCUUGUCUAUUGUUUGUAUAGGUAAGCAAAGAUAGUUUCUGAAAAUGAUAUCAAUGAUGGAAAGGAUGUAAAUAUAGUUUUGGUAUAUAUUUUUGUCCACGAUAUAUUUUUGUCCAUGAUAAUUAUGUGUUUUUGUCCAUUGUUCUUAUAUAGUAUGUGAUUCUUAGAUCGUCUAUAAACAUAUUUUCUUUAAUAUUUUAUUAUUUUGUCUCCACAUACAAAUAAAAACAUAUUUAUGAGACAAUCAAAUAUACUGUAAAUUAGGGACAUAUCUAUGCCAACUAUUAAUAAUGAUAACUGAAUCUCAACUCUUAUUAAUAAUAACUAAUAUAAAAUAGGAAAACAAAUAAAUUAUAAUCAUUAUAGUAAUAUUUGUGAUAGACAAAAUCCAUGAUUAUAUUGUUAAUUUGUUGUAAACAAAUUUUUCUUCUACCAUUAAAUGAAGGGUAAAAUUGUCCAAAUAUCUUAUCACUACCACAACAAUGUGGUAUAUGGGAAAAAAAUUGUGAAAUGUGAUAUUUUACGUAAGGGUCCCACCAUUGUGUAGUAGAUAAUAUAAAAUUCCCAUUAUUUUUCCCUGAUUAUUUUUUUGUUUAGAAAAAUGUUUGUUUGAAUUUUAUUAGAAAAAGCAAAUUUAGCCCACAAUAAAAGGCCCAAAAAUAAAGUCUUAUAUGAACUGGCCUUUAUUAUAAUACAAAGAUUUGAAGCCCAAUAACUUGGAUUUUGUUCUCAUAUUUGUCACUUUUUCCAUAUAACAUAAUAUUUAAAACGCGGGUUAGCUCAUUGUAUUUCACUUGUUUUCUUGAAGGUGCCUAAGGAUAAAGGCGCCGACUUCAUUGUUGCCAAGGACGGCACAGGUCACUUCACCACUGUGAACGGAGCAGUUGCAGCUGCUCCGGAGAACAGUAUGAAGCGAUUUGUAAUAUAUGUCAAAAGAAGAGUGUACAGAGAAGUGGUUCGGGUCGGGGUUAAGAAAUCCAAUAUAACUAUAAUUGGCGACGGACAAGACUUGACAAUUCUCACCGGAAAUUUGAACAGCGACGACACCAAGAGUUUUGACACGGCGACACUUGGUAACACUCUUCAUCACUGUCUUUUUUGUCGUGAGAGUUUAGACACUUGUCAUCUUGCAACCAAAACCCUCUUCUCAAACUGAUUGAUUGUGUCUAAUCUACCACAAUAACUUUACAUGUUUCCUCAAGACACUUCUGCAUAAUUACUUAGAUGAUCAUGUGGUGACAUGUGUCUUUGGCAGCCACAUAUGAACCCUGAGUAUUAUGUCUAAUUUUCCUAUACCUUCUACUCAAUCUCCAGUGCCAAAUAUUGAACCAGACAACCAGUUUUCUAUUCUCCUUGGUUUCCUUUCAGCUGAUUUUUUAAUUUUCACCAGUUUGUCCGCCUCCACGUUUGGAUUCUCCCGCUCUUGUACCUCCAUGACUUUGUCCUCUGUUGAACGUUUCUCUGCUUCUUCUCAUAACAUGAUUACUUGUUUCAUGCUUUUAUUUGUUACAAAGUUAUAUGGCACAAGAUUACUAAUACUAAGAUUCCUAUGCAGGUGUCGACGGAUUUGGGUUUAUAGCACAAGAUUUGUGCAUUCAAAAUACCGCUGGGCCACAAAAAGGGCCGGCAGUGGCUCUCCGCAUAAGCGCUGAAAGAGUAGUCGUAUAUCGCUGCAAGAUUGAUGCAUUCCAAGAUUCUCUGUAUGCUUAUUCAGGUAGACAAUUUUAUCGGGAAUGUCAUAUUACAGGAACAGUGGAUUUUAUCUGCGGACACGCAACGGCUGUCUUUCAAUACUGCCAAAUUGAGGCACGUAAACCGGCUAAACAACAAAACAAUGUUCUGACCGCACAAUCUCGCGAGAAAAAGUCUGAUUAGUCAGGGUUUUCGUUCCAGAGAUGCAACAUAACCGCAGGUUCCGAUCUUAGACUAACCAAUGGAACUGUAAAGAUGUAUUUGGGACGUCCAUGGCGGGCAUUUUCUAGAGUUGUAUUCAUGGAGUGUCUUUUGGACAAAAUCAUUGAUCCAGCUGGCUGGCUGCCAUGGGACGUAAAGGAUUUGGUAACACUGACAACUCUGUAUUAUGGUGAAUACAGAAACACAGGCCCGGGAGCAGAUACAAGCAAAAGAGUCAACUGGAAAGGUUAUAAAAGAAUUAUUGAUAUGAGUGAAGCUGCAAGUUUUACGGUCGAAAAACUUAUUCAGGGAAAUUUAUGGAUCAACUCUACUGGAGUUCCAUACGAGUUAGGUCUAUGAUUAUUUUAUAUUUUAUGUAAUGUUGUAAUGAACAUUUGAAUGUGGUUGUGUAAGUCUGAAAUUUCCUUAUACAAAACCUUAAGACUGAAAGUAGUAUUAAAGGUGUCAAAUCUUUAUCAGAGCAUAGUAAUGUUGUUGCCUUAUAAUACGUAACAUUCUUCAAUGACGACACAAUUUCUGUACCCUAAGCCAAAAGAAACGUAUUCCUAAGUUAACUGAAAUUGACCUACAUUCAAAGUCAACCUUGAUGCUGCUGCUUAUCCGGAGCAUCAUGGUACUCAUCCUUGUCUCCCUCUUCCUCAGCCACUGUAUGAGGUCUCCUGCGAUCCCGAUCUUACGUUUUGCUCCAGCAGUAGGUGUGCCGAUAGGGAAUCUGGGAGAAGACGGCUGCACGGUCACAACCUCCGGUGAUUUCCGGUCGGAUCUCGGAGAUUUUCCCGGAGAAGUCAUAUUUCUCAGGCGAUACACAAGUAUUAAGCUUUGGCUUUGACGGUGGAGAAAAGAACAAAGAGACAAACUGGACUUGGUACGGUACCGAAACUAAAAUAACUUUGUUUUCAAUAACACAAUCCCGAAACUUAGAUAAAACGUUUUUUUUCUUCUUAUUUUUGCAGAAAAGAUUGCACGGUAACCAUAAUUAUAUGAGAAAGUUUUUUGACAUUAGAAACUUGUUUGACGAGUUGUGGGUUAGGUUUGAAAGUUGACAGCUCCAUUUCACACUCAUCCGACAUGUCUUUUAUACAUUGAACGUCCUCUUGAAGUCCGAAAUAGUCCUUAUAUCCCAAAUCUGCGAGGGCGUCACACGACAACUAGUAGCUUUGUCAAACGUGUCUACGCAUACCUGAUAGGAACCUUUAGCGCUGCGAUCGGUUGUGCUGUUGAAGAGCGACUGGAAUUGCUUCAGCAUAUCUAAAUGUUUUGGAGAAUCGUAGUUGACUAAAUAUUUGACAAGGCCAGCAGGAUCCAAUGCUGCAAUUUUUGGGGACGAUUUCAACAACUUAAAGCAGAAUGAAGCAUCAAGUCCACUAUAUGUGCAGAUGGUGUUGAUUUGGCUACUUGUAACCUUCUUACUAAACCUUGUAGAUGAUGAAAGAACGACAACACCAAGUAAAAUCACUAAUAACAAACGAUUUUUGACGUUUGAAACCAUUUUUGUUUUGUUUUUGUGUUCUAAAUUUUAGAAAAUUAUGUGUGAUUAUUUAUACAGAAGGAAAACUUUUUUUUUUUGGUCAAAAAUAUCUACAGAAAUGGGAAAUAUAUCUACAGUUUUUAAUGCUAACAGAUUAUGUUUUUAAUGCUGACAGAUUAUGUUACCAUAACAAUAUUAUUUACAUAAAAACUUGACCUUUUAACCAAAAGAAAAAAAAGUAACAGUCGUUUGUCAAAGGAUUAUGAAGAGGAGAACCAAAGUGGAAGCAUGAGCGAAGCAAUGGAAGGAUUUGCAUCUCUGUAGGUAGUUAUUCUGUUUCUGAUAGUGGCAUCAAUCGAUCGAAGACUCGUACAAAAUUCGUAUUUUCGGAAUUGUGAAAUUUGCGAGUUUGUUUUUCACAUAUUUGUUCGGUGUCUUCUUCCGUUAUGAGUUUUGGUGAGAUUUCUAUAGAAGUUCAAUGUAUGAUGAAAUCAACAACUCCACUCUGUUUCUUUUUUCCCUUAACAUGUGUUGUAGAAAACAGAGUAUCUGAGCAAACUUGUUUGGAAUACAUUUCCUGCUUUUUAAUCCAAUCAUUGAAAAUGUACACAUAUGUAAUUGUAAUCAUACGAGUUACUCAAAACACAUAUUAAUGAGAUGGUCUUCUUUCGCAAUCCCAACAGGAACUCUCCAAUUUUGUUUAUUUAACUCUCCAACCUUUGUAAGCUUCUAAACCCCUAUAAAAACCAUUACAAAUCAUUUAAAAACCAUUUAAAAACUCUUGUAAAUCCCUUUAAAAACCUUGUAAACCUUUUAAAAGACCCUUUAAAAUCAUUUUAAAAAAUUUGGCGGGAAAACAAACCAGAUAGUGGAUUUUGUUUGGGAAACUAAAGUCUAUGAUUUGAUUGAUAUGGCAACCACAACGAACAAUAAUCUCUUAAAAAUCUUGACUUUGCGGUAAUAUUUUUGGAAAGUCAGAAUUCUUUUUCAUAUUAUUAAUUGAAACGAUACAUAUGAAAAGUUACAUAUAUUCAAUAUAUUAAAGACCUCCUUUUGUUAAUUCCAUUAACAAAACUUUAAUAGCUAAAACAUAUCAAAACUUUGUAAACUAUACAAUCUUAAUCCUGACUAGCUAAAGACUAAAUUUGGGCUUUGUUCCCAAAACAUAUCAAAACUUUGUAAACUAUACAAUCUUAACAAAUUUACAUUACAUACGUCUUAAGAUAAUUACAGAAGACAACAUGCAGUUUCAUUUAUUUCGAUACGAGAAUUUUCUUUUUUUAUUGCUGAUAUUUCCAAUUAAAAUAGUAUUAGAUAUUUAGAUAUAUUUGUGAACAUGCCUAUAGUAACAGACCUUACAUUACCCUCUCCUUGUAUAAUCACUAGAUUGUGAACCAACGCGUUGCGCGGGAAUUUAAUUUAAAAUUUCUUCUAUCAAUAUUAAUUUUUGAGCAUAAUUAUAAUUAUUUAAAUUAUAAAAGAUAAAAGCUAUAUAAUUAAACACUAAACUAAAAAUUUUAAGCGAUAUACAACAUAUAAAUUGUUGGCGAUAGUAUUUUCUUGACAAAUAAAUGAUUUAAUAUUAUUACAUGGUAACAAAAAUUACUUGAAAAGAUUUGCGAGAAGAGUAAAUGGCAUCGACGACCAGCUCAUGAUCUUAAUUGUAGAUAUCCUUUAUGAUUAGAUGUUGAUACAAAUAUAACACCGUUCUAUAUAUAACACCAAUUUACCGAGCCUCAUAUACAUCAUUAAGUGUAAAGAUACAUAUAUAAUAUCAUCAAACUUGCUUUAUAUCCAUCGGAAAAGUGUAAUGUAGUAAAAGAGAACUCUCGACCAAGUUAUGAAUGUGUCUAUCUUAUCUUAACAGUUAAGUCCGACUCUGAAUCUAGUAGUAUGUCAUGAGUUUUUAAAAAAACUCACUUCAUUUCACACAAUAAAUGAUAUCUCAAAUAUUUCAAAAUUUAGUCAUAUCAUUAUCUUUUUAAGUUAUAUUCAUUUAUACUCAAUCGCAUUUAACUACUAAUUCUUUUGUGAUCUUCUACGAUGGACUCGUCACCUCUCGACAUCUAGUUUAUUUCCAUCUUCUAUAAACUCUUAUCUAUAUAUAUAAAGUUGACUUUUUCUCUCUUCUCCUUAUGCCACAUCAUCUUCCACAUCAGCUGCCACAUCAUCAUUCAUCUUAAUUUUUUACAUUGAUUUAGAAUUACAACACUUUAGUUUUUAAUUUCUUUUCUACCUCAUAACUUAGCCUUUAUUUAAUUUUUAUAUUCAAUAGUGGUUUUAAGAAAAUAAAUAAUAUAGUAAAAAACAUUUAUGUCCAAAAUAAAUAAAACAAGUAUAUAUUUAUAAAGUAAUGAUCAAUUUUUUUUUUUUAUUAAUGGGGCUAAAUACAAAACAAAAUACAAAACAAGGAUAUUUAUACUAUACAUAUAGAUAUACCACUAAAUUGAUGUCAUCCGAAGGCACAUCAAACGAGAACACAAUCGAUUUUAGGCAUAAGAAGUAGAAGAAAAAACUAAAAAGUAAAAUGAAUACACUUUGAUAAAUAAACAAGUGGAUUCACCAGAAUAAUUUGGCCUACAAGAAUUGAAGGCUUUUGAAAUGUAAGGUUCUAACAGGUAACAAUUUAUUCCUUAAUAAUAUUCCAUUUUAGGUUAAAAGCAUAUAAUAAUGUUUUAAUAAUUUUUAUAUUUUUAACAGAAUUUCACUGCAUAAAGUAUAACGGAAAUGAGUAAAUGAAUUUCACGGCAUAAAGUAUGGCUCCAUGUCCAUGCAAGUAUAAUUUCUAAUGCAUGUAAUACCUACAUUGUUCCAAAACAGAUGGACUAAGGUAAAAGAGUUAUAACUCUGAAUCUUUGUAUAAUGAAUUUAAGUAUAAACAAUAAGUACUUACUUUGGUAUUUAGACACUCUCCAGAAACACAAAACGCCAAACAAAGGGCCUGAUUUACUGUAUAUGUGAGAUGGUGUCCACAAUAUUUCCAAUAAUGCAUGAACUUCUCAACAAACAUCUCUUCUUAUAUGACAAACUAGUCAGUUGCCCGCGCUACGCGCAUGAGUUUUAUUAUAUUGUUUAUGAGUAUUUGGUCCGUAUUCUAUUUCCUACUUGUUUUUUCCCUAUAGCAUAUAUAUUUUUUUCUUUUCUUAGAUUGUGUUUGUAUAGAAAACCUGUUGAGUUUUACCUUCGUUAGUAGCUGACAAAUUGAGUGUGUAUAGUAUAGGUCGAUGUGUGGGUGUAAACGGAAGUGCGGUGGAGAAUCAUAGAGAAACAUGUGUUAUUAGGGUUCCUACCAGAUAUAGAUCUAGAUGUUAAUAUUGUGGGCUUUUUAAUAUGUUGGCUCGAAAGAUGAAAAUGAUUUGUGGGUUUCGGGCAGAUUUUUCUAUUUUUUAUUGGUUAUAUUAUCUCUUUAUAUAUUCUCAUAAUUUAAUUUUUUGUUUUAUAUUUUUAUUUUUUUGGAUUUGACGUAAUUUAUAUCUCGUUAUGAUCAUUUUUAUACUAUUAUAUAUUCCUCUCUGAUUUUCUGUUUUAUAUAUUUUUGUAUUUUCAUAUGGAACAAUUUUAAAAUUAAGCAUAUUAGUAUAAUUUACUUUAUAUAUACUUAUUUAGUUCAUUUCAUUUAAUUAUGUUUUUUUCAAUGUUUAUGAAAUAUUGUUAAUUAUUUAUUUUGUUUAUUAGUUUACCAUAAUGUGCUGAACAAAAUUAGUUAAAUUCAUAUUGGAAACCUUUACAGAAAUAUUAUUUUUAUUGUCACCAUUUUUAUACGUGUUUUUAAAAUGAGAAUUCAUGUUUCGUCCCAACCUAUCUCAUUUAUGUUGCAGAAUUUUGUGAGACAUAAAUUAGAUAGAUUUCUAUUCUCAAAAUUUCUUACAUUUUGUUCUAUUUCCGUUAAAUACCAUUAUAAUUUAGGUUUACAUUAUGUAAAUAUAAUCAAAUUUUGGGUCAUAAUAUUUGUAAUUGAUAUAUAUUCAAUAUAAAACAUCACUUAAAACUUAUAAGGAAUCUAUCGUUUAUAUAUUAGUUAGUAUAAUCGAUAGUUAGUAAUUUUUUUAUUUUUUAAUCAAUUAUAUUUUUAGUUUUGUAAUAUAAAAUAUAAGAAAAGGUCUUUCAUAUUUUUUUUAGAAAAUCUUAUUUACAUAUUUCUAAAUAUUAAAAUUAAAUGAGAAAAUGAUAUAAUUAAUUCUUAAAAUUAAAUAAUAAAAUGAACAAUAAGAAAAGACCUUUCAUAUUUCUUUUAGAAAAACUUUUUUACAUAUAUCUAAAUCUUAAAAUUAAAUGAUAAAAUGGUAUAAUUAAUUCUUGAAAUUAAAUAAUAAAAUGAGGUGGAUGAUGAUUAGGAUAAUGAGGUGGCUUAAGUAGAAGAGAGAAAAGUUAACUUUAUAUAUAUAGAUAAGUACUUCAUUCCUGGUGUGAAGAACAAAGAUGGAAGAGUUGAUCAAGUAGUUUAUAUCGACGGCAGAAAUAUAAGUUUAGACACCUCCCAUUAAUGAUUUUGAAAACUAAACUAUUGACAAUAGAAGUCUGUCCAUGGACAUCAACAAUAUAAUCUUCAUGAUUAACUUCACCCAUUUCUACUAUACGGUCAUAGAAAUCUAAUAAAUAGAUACAAAAAAUUAUAUAAUGUAAAUGUAACUAUGCAAUACAUAAAUAUGUAGUUUUAAAACUAAACACCGUUACAAAGAACAUACCGUACGUGGUUUUUGAGGGAAGCAACUGUUUUGCCACAUGUGUGAAAUCUUGAAACCUUAAAAAGAAUUGAUCUACUAAUGGGAAAUAAAAUUUCAUUUCAGUCUUCAUUGUGGCCUUGAUUUGGUAACGAUGGUUCGUGUUACUCUGUCUCAACAUAGGAGUGAUGAGUCUGAAGUCCGAGAUAUGAAACCAGUAAGCAUCUUCUAUAAUAGUUAUGAUAUCAGGGUUCUUCAAAUCAGAAGCUAUAGUCAUCUCAAUUCUAUCCCCCUAUAAAAAUAGUUGCUCUUAAUACUUUAACUUAAAUCGAAUCAAGAAAUAAAAUUUACUCCCGUUUAUGUUACAUAAUAUAAAAUAAUUUACCUUCUCGUCCACUAGAAAAAUUACCCUCUUCAUCAUAUCAUCAAAAAUUAUCCAAGUACUCAAAACCUUGACCCUUAUCCUCCACUCGCUUCUUUGUGGGGUUAGCUCGGAGAUGUAAUCAAUUUUCAUGGUUAGGGUGAUUACGUUUUGUAAAUAGAGAAAGAGUUUGAAGAGUAGCGAGAUUAAAGAUCUUUUAUUUAUUUUGUCAUUUAUGUUAUUGAAAUUAAGUUACAAAAAUAAUCAGUUUUAGAUAUUUGCACAAAUCGUUAAACAAUUCAAUUGAGAACUACUGAUUUAUCUUUCAUGCAGAUCCAUAAAUAUGGUAAAGGCCCAUUAUUUUGAGCAAAUUAAAAAUAAAUACAGGCCCAUCAUCUAUACAAAUCCGAAAUUGCUUUAUGCUUGAAACCAAUGAAAUCAUUUGCUAAAACUAUUAUACUUUCGGUCUACAUCAACCUUAUUCAAAGUAUGAUAUAUAAGUUCUAAGCUUAAGUGCCUAUAUAGCUUCAACCAAAAUAUAAAUCAGAUGUUUUAUAUAUGUUUUCACAUAACUAAGCACAAUAUGUGUAAUCUUAUAAAUAGUAAAUGUAAGAUUCUUGUUUAAUUAAAGAAUAAACAAAAAUAUUUAGCUAUAAUUACUUUAGAAUCCUCUUCUUUUUUACUUCACCAAUAUCAACAAUGCAGCUUAGAAAUCAAACACAGAACAAAAAUUCAAUUUUAUAACUAAAUACUCUUAAUAGUCAGGAUUAAACCAUGUAACUAUUUGUAACAACCCAUCCCGGUGGGAACCCCUGCCACAUGGCACACCCCGCCACAUGGCAGCAACAAGCGCUGCAGCGCAUCGACCCUAACCUCUCUCCUGUGGGCCCAAACUGCGCAGCCCACUACUCGCAGCCUCCUGGCCCACCAGGUAGGUUAUUGGUGCGCCUGGCGUUCCUCGAACCCAGGUUCUCACCCGUUAACAACCUUUUCACUUGACAAGUUGUUACCAAUUGAACUGCUGCCUUGUAACACCCCGACCGCCAUCUCUCCAGUGGGCCUCAUGUUCACCACCAGCCCAUGGGCCCACCUCUCUUAAUGGGCCUCACGUCCUCUCACUAGGCCCAUGAGCCCAUUUAUACCCGACAGUCGGUUUGCUACGUCCGGGAGGUUUAAAGUCUUGUUUACCGACCCUACAAAUCACCACAUGAUCUUCCCUGUGUUUUGGCCUCACUCACACAGUUCCGACAACCACUUCCCGGAAGGUCACCCAUCCUUUGACUACUCCAGUAUAAGCACGCUUAACUAUAGAGUUCUCUCAGGACAUUUGAACGAAAAGAUAAGUGCACUUUGGUGACAUAGGUGGCCAAAUCAAUUCAUUUAAACCUCUCCGCAACUGGGGUCUCACAAUUCUCCCCCACUAACAGAUCGCAACGUCCUCGUUGCGCACAACGAUCGUUACCCCCUGACAGUGUGAGCCCACCACUCCACACUUGUCUGGGUUCGGCUCUAAUAUCACUUGUAACACCCCGACCGCCAUCUCUCCAGUGGGCCUCAUGUUCACCACCAGCCCAUGGGCCCAUCUCUCUUAAUGGGCCUCACGUCCUCUCACUAGGCCCAUGAGCCCAUUAAUACCCGACAAUCGGUUUGCUACGUCCGGGAGGUUUAAAGUCUUGUUUAGCGACCCUACAAAUCACCACAUGAUCUUUCCCUGUGUUUUGGCCUCACUCACACAGUUCCGACAACCACUUCCCGGAAGGUCACCCAUCCUUUGACUACUCCAGCAUAAGCACGCUUAACUGUGGAGUUCUCUCAGGAACCUUGACCGAAAAGAUAAGUACACUUUGGUGACAUAGGUGGCCAAAUCAAUUCAUUUAAACCUCUCCGCAACCGGGGUCUCACAAUUCUUCAAUUGGUAACAACUUGUCAAGUGGGAAGGUUGUUAAAGGGUGAGGACCAGGGUUCGAGUAACGCAAGGCGCACCAAUAACCUACCUAGUGGGCCAGGAGACUGCGAGCAAGUGGGCUGCGCAGUUUGGGCCCCCAGGAGAAAGGUUAGGGUCGAUGCCAUGUGGCGGGGUGUGCCACAUAGCGGAUGAUCCCACAGGGCGGGUUGUUACAUAAAAAGUCGACUUUUUAUGUAACAACCCAUGCCGGUUGGAACCCCUGCCACAUGGCACAUUCCGCCACAUGGCAGCUACAAGCGUUGUAGCGCUGUAAGGAUGCCAUGUGGCGGGGUGUGCCACAUGGUGGAUGAUCCCACAUGACGGGUUGUUACAUAGUUCAAUUGGUAACAACUUGUCAAGUGGGAAGGUUGUUAAAGGGUGAGGACCUGGGUUCGAGGAACGCCAGGCGCACCAAUAACCUACCUGGUGGGCCAAGAGGCUGCGAGCAGUGGGCUGCGCAGUUUGGGCCCACAUGAGAGAGGUUAGGGUCGAUGCGCUGCAGCGCUUGUAGCUGCCAUGUGGCGGGGUGUACCAUGUGGCAGGGGUUCCCAGUGGGAUGGGUUGUUACACUAUUGAUAAGAAUUCAGAAUUUAGAGCACUAACCAUAUGCGUUGUUUGAUGGAAGCAACUUUCUAGCAACUCUCUAGCAACAUGGUUGAAAUCUUCAAACAUGUAGUAGUUUCAGUCUUCUCAGUUAGUUUGAUCUGGUAAGGAUGACUGGUAUUCCUCUGCUUCAAUAUCAGACUAAUGAGUUUAAAGUAUCUUAAAUCAUACCACUCACCAUCAUAAAUGUGUCGUGGUAAUUCAGGAUUCUUGAUACCAGGAGCUAUUGUCAUCUCAACUCUAUCACCCUAAAAAAAAUGGUUUGUUCGAUUAAUUAAACCUAAUUCAAUAACUAAUCUGCUAGUAUACGAGUAAAUGUGACCUAAGAAAAGUAAAUUACCUUAACAUCAGCGACAACAAAAACCCUCUUUGUAAAAAAUCAGAAGUAUGCCAAGUUCUCAAAACGUUGACCCUUAUGAUCCAAUCACUCUUUCUUGGAGUUAAAUCAGAGAUGUAAUCGGUUAGCACGGUUUUAAUCUUUUUUGUUUUGAAUAGAAAAAGUUUUAAGAGGUUAGGGUAAAGAUCUUUCGUCUUCUUCAAAGUUUUGUUAAUGGAAGUAACAAAAGGAGGUCUUUAAUAUAUUGAUUAUUAGUUGUUGAUCCGCGCUGCGCGCGAGAGUUUUAUAAUUAUUUUUUUAUAUUUUAAAAUUUAUAUUUGAUUUUUCUUUGUUUUUUUGUUUAUUUUUUUUUGUUUUUACUCUUGUUUUUGUAUUAAUUUAGUAUAUGAAAUUUUUAUUGUUAUUUGUUUAACUUUGAUUUAGGUCAAAUAGUAGCUCUUAGAACCUUACAUUUCAAAAGCCUUCAAUUCUUGUAGGCCAAAUUGUUCUGGUGAAUCCACUUAAUUAUUUAUCCAAGUGUUUUUAUUUUACUUUUUAGUUUUUUUUUUCUACUUCUUAUGCCUUAAAUCGGUUGUGUUCUCGUUUGAUGUGGCUUGGAUGACAUCAAUUUAGUGGUAUAUCUAUCUGUAUAGUAUAAAUAUCUUUUUUUGUAUUUUGUUUUGUAUUUAGCCCCAUUAAUAAAAAAUUGAUCAUUACUUUAUAAAUAGAUACUUGUUUUAUUUAUUUUGGACAUAAAUGUUUUUACUAUAUUAUUUAUUUUCUUAAAACCACUAUUGGAUAUAAAAAUAAAAUAAAGGCUAAGUUAUGAGGUAGAAAAGAAAUUAAAAACUAAAGUGAUAUAAUUCUAAAUCAAUGUAAAAAAUUAAGAUGAAUGAUGAUGUGGCAGCUGAUGUGAAAGAUGAUGUGGAAGAUGAUGUGGCAUAAGGAGAAGAGAGAAAAAGUUACCUUUAUAUAUAUAGAUAUGUAACUCUUCAUAUGUAUCGUUUCAAUUAAUAAUAGAAAAAGAAUUCUGACUUUCCAAAAAUAUUACCGCAAAGUCAAGAAUUUUAAGAGAAUAUUGUUCGUUGUGGUUGCCAUAUCAAUCAAAUCAUACACUUUAGUUUCCCAAAAUCCACUAUUUGGUUUGUUUCCCCGCCAAAGUUUGUUAAGGAUUUACAAAGGGUCUUUUAAAGAGUUUACAAGGGUUUUUAAAGGGAUUUACAAGAGUUUUUAAAUGGUUUUUUUAAAAAUAUUUGUAAUGGGGUUUAAAUGGUUUUAGAAGCUUACAAAGGUUUUUGAAUGGUUUUUAAAUGAUUUACAAUGGGUUUUUAAAAUUUUUUAUAAGUUUAUAACAGUUUUAAAAGGAUUUACAAGGAUUUUUAAAAGAUUUUAAAAAUUUACAAGGAUUUUUAAAAGUUUUUUAAAAGGAUUUACAAGUGUUUUUAAAGGCAUACAAGGAUUUAAAAACGGUUUUAGAAGGAUUUACAAGGAUUUUGAAAGAUAUUUAAAAAGAUUUAAAAAUAGUUUUAAAGAAUUUACAAGCGAUUAAAAGGGUUUUAGAAGUUAAAAAAGGGUUUUUAAGGGUUUACAAAAUUUUUUAAAGGUAUUACAAGUUUUUUAAAAUGGUUUUUAAGGAUUUAUAAUGUUUUUAAAGGGUUUAAGAAGUUUACAAAAGUUUUUAUUAAAGGAGUUAUAAGGGGUUUACAAGUGUUUAUAAAUGUUAUAAAAUGAUUUAUAAUGGUUUUAAACGGUUUACUCAAGUUUUGAAAGGUUUUGGAUGACUUUUAAAAGAUUUACAAGGGGUUUUAGAGGAAUUUUAAGGGAUUUAAAAACAUUUACAUAGUUUUUUAAGGAAAUGCGGAAAAAUUUGGCUGACAUAUUUUGGCGGGAAACUUUUUGACGGAAAAUUUGGCGGAAAAUUUUUCGGAAGUAGUAUUCUUUUUGCUGGAAAGAAUAUUCCUUUAUUUAUCAUGUGCUAUAAUAAAGGAGGGUAACCUUUUUAUGAGUUAUAACUAACCUCCUCGACACACUGAACAAACUGCACUCUCCGCUAAAUGCCGCCGGACUCUUUCCAUAUUAGUCAUAAUCACUUGGUGAGAAACGAGCCAGAGAAAGACUCGGAUUCUCUCCAGUACCUCGACAGCCCAAAUCCGUUUAAAAAUCGUUCCAUACACGGCCUAGCAGCGUUGUCCUGCGUCAAGAGAGCAUAAGUGGAACCCACACUAAAACAACCAUUGGAGUUUCCCAGCCAAGACAACUGAUCUCUCAAUAACCACGGCAUACAACUGUUGUAAAUUAUUCUCGGGGAGAUAGAACCACGGCAUACAACUGUUGUAAAUUAUUCUCGGGGAGAUAGUAAUCCUCAACCUCCAUACUUGCCUCAUCUGUUGGCAAAGGAACCAAAAUAAAGCUCGAUAGAGGCUCCGGUAAAAUCCAUCGAUCCGACUAAAACAAUAUUAAUCUCCCAUCUCCCGGCACCCAACCCAAGCCACGUGAAACAACUUCUCUUGAACCAACACCCACACUCCGCCAAGUUGAUGACAAUGUAGCUUUUGGCACAACCCAUAAGUAAUCGUGAACAUCACCCACCUUAUACUUACUUCUGAAAACCUUCGCCCAUAAACUCGUCUCAUCCCUAAGCAGUCUCCAGCCCACCUUAGCAAGGAGAGCUCUGUUCAUGUCCUUCGCUUAUUGUAAGCCCAAACCACCUUCUGAUUUUGGUUGGAAGAUCUUCUUCCAUGCUACCAAAUGAAGUUUCUUCUUCUCAGAUGUUCCACCCCAUAUAAACGUCCUCGAUAAAGUAAUCCGGCCUGCUAGGCUCAACAUGCGGCUCUUCUAACCGGACAGUUUAGAUGAGACCUUCUCCAACACCUUCCCAUAAGUCUCCUUAUGUAUUCGCUUAUGUAAAAUAGGCAUUCCUAAAUACUUUCUCAACUGCCUCGUAGAGCUAAUCCCGCUUUCCAAACUAAUCAGCCUCUCCAUAUCUCGGCUUACAUUUUGAGAGAAAAAUAUUUUUGAUUUUUUCUAAAAUUAUUUUUUUCCCGAAGCUAAGCAAAACCGCUCUAAAACGUUCCGAAUCACUCGAAUUUGAGUAACAGACGCUUCUGCAAAUAAAAUGAUAUCAUCCGCAAAGCACGCAUGAGACAGUUUCGGACCCCCUCUCGAAAGUUUGACCGGUUACCAACUCCCUUUGUUCACCUCUGCGUCAAUUAGAUGACACAACCUCUCAAGACAAAGCACAAAUAAAUAUGGAGAAAGAGGAUCUCCUUGGCGUAAACCACAAGCUGGUUGAAACGGUUCAAUUUUUUCUCCGUUCCACAAAAUAGUCAUUAACGGUUUUGUAACACAUUCCAUUAAACGCCGUACCCACUCAAUGGAUAACCCUGCUACUUCCAACAUCUCCUCUAAAAAAUCCCACCGUUUACGAUCAUAAGCCUUCUCAAGAUCCAACUUCAAUAACAUCCAACCUUUACGCCCUUUUUCCGACACAUUGAAUGAACUGCUUCCUGAACGAUAACGAUAUUAUCGAUAAUCAGCCUUCCGGGGAUAAAACUAACUUGGUCCGGACCAAUAAGCUUCGAGACAACCCCUUUCAGACGAAUCACCAUCAUCUUUGUGAUUACUUUAAACAACACGUUACACAAGCUUAUCGGCCUAAAUUGUGUUAUUCGUUCCGGAUUUGCUACUUUUGGUAGUAAGACUAACAACACAUCAUUUGUUGAACUCGGCAAUACUCAUGUAGCAAAGAACUUCAACACAAUAUCUGAAACUGAACCUCCAACAACUUCCCAACAAUCUAGGUAAAACACUAGUUGAAAGCCAUCCGAACCUGGCGCUUUAAACCGGCCCAUACUCUUAACUGCAGCCAACACCUCCUCAGACGUGGAAGGUUUUUCUAAUGCAUUCUUUUCCAUCGUACUCAAGCUCACAAAACCAUCUUUUGGCAACACUUCCCUCUCCUCUCCUAAAUCUGCCAAAGAGUACAACCUCGAAUAGUAAUCUAGAGCCAACUUCUCUAAUGCAUUCUUCUCCGAAACCCACCUGUUUUCAUCAUCCUUCAACAAUUCUAUUUGAUUCCUCCUCCUCCGAAUAAUUGUGGACGUAUGAAAGAAAGAUGUAUUUCUAUCACCCAACAAAACAAAUUUCUCUCUCGAUUUUUGGAACCAAAUACCCUCCUCCUGUUCUAGCACAUUCUCAAACUGAUUUCAUAACUGCUCCUCCUUAGCUAAUAAAUCUUUUGACUGCUGCACAUCCAAUCGCUCCUGGAUCUCCUUAAUCUCACCCAUCAACCUCUCUUUCCGAUUAUUUACAUCACCAAACACCUCUUUAUUCCACUUCUUAAGCUUCCAUUGAAGUUUACUAAGCGCAUGCGGUGUUGAAACACUUGUAUCCCACAACGCUGCCAACAAAUCCUUAAAGGUUUCAUGGUUUCACGAAGCCAGCACUUACACUCUCCCAACACUGGAUCUCCACAGCAACAAUAGACCUCCAAUUUUUCCUUCCGCAUCCACUCUAAAAAAUUCUCCAAACCCAACCUUUCACAAAUAUUUUGUGUGUGUUCCCCUCCUGCAUGCGUUUCAAAUAAUGCAAUGACAUACGUGUCGUAUUUCUUCAACAUAUAUCAUAUCGAUCGUCGAAAUUUGGGUUUAUUCGCCCCCGGCAGUUACAUAAAAGACAAUUCAAAUAAAUUCUUUAAAUUUAUAAAGAACAGACAGGGAAAAAUAUUUAUCCCCAUUCUCCCUCUCCAUAGCAACCAACCCCUCCUCAAAAGGAAGCUCAAAACUUGUACUCCCACUAGAUUCAACAUUUAUACUAACUAUUGUUUUCUCCAAGAUCUACAACGGCCUUCUCUCAGCUCCGUCUUUUCCACUUUCCAAGAUGUACACUCCUCCCUUUUGACCCACACUUUCAUUUUCAACUAGGAGGCGUUUUCCAGAAGCUGUACUACCCAUCUUACCUCGUAUGGGACCAAAAAUCAAGCCACGCACCGGAGCAUGUGGCUCUAACUGCUUUCCUUUAUGCCUAACAUUCCGCCAUGUUCUAUUACCGCGCAUUCUCUGCUCUAACACCUCUCCUUGACUUUUACCCAAAUCGUUAACUUUUUUCUCUGUCUGGCUCCUUCCAUCUCCAAAACGCACAACAUUUUGACAAUCCACAUUCUCUUUAUUCGCCUCACUCUCAACCAUGAUAUCCCGCUCCCCAGCCUGUGCCUCAUUCAUUUGCAGACCACUAAACCGAUUUGCAACACCGACAGUAGCAGUCCCACUUAUGUGGGCAUUCUCCACUAGUGGUCGACUCGGCUCCCCUCCUAAAUCCUAGGACACCACGCCAGCUUGCAAAGGUACGACACGCCUAUUCUUACUCCUCACCUUUGUAAGCCCAUCCGUUUUAUUCACUUCUUUUUGCUGACCCUGACCUUCCUCGGUACUACGCUGCGACGGUGCUCUACAAUUUUCUUCAAACAGGCAUACACCGUGUGCCCAUACACACCACACGUGGGACAUAUGUUUGUUAACCCUUUGUAAACACAUGAUACCGUUCAUCGUUAACUACUACCGUACCUUUUAACGGCUUACUUAGGUCCACCUCUACACAAACAUGAGCAAAACUCGCUCUCUCCAUCUUCAACGUCGUGAGAUCCACCUUCAGUGGCUUUCCAACUCGUUCAGCAAUACCCAUGAGAAUUGUUUCGUGAUAGAAACUAAUGGGGAUAUGCGCAAUUCUAACCCAAACCGGCGUGGUCACAAUCUCCUCACAAACGAGAUUAAAAGUCGGUGACCACGCUUGCACCAUCAAGAUACUACCAAAUACUCUCCAAGGACCACUCGUCAUUGCUGCCAUGUAAUCAUCCUCCGCGUCAUACCGGACCAUGAAGAACUGUCUCGGCAAGUCUAACACACACAUGCUCCCCUUCCACACCAUUCGGAAGCGCCAAACGCAUCCUUGACUUCACAAACUCAGCCGCUAAAACUUUCUCCGGAACUGGAAUCCCACUGCCAUUAGAACUUCUCACCUUCUCGACCCACAAACUCACCUACCCCACAACUCUUUCUGGUGGCCGACCGUCAUCAUCCAUGCACACAUCUUGAUCUGUCACGCUCAAAACCCUAGGGCUGAUAGGGUUCGACAUCGCCGCUUUUAGAGAUGAUUAUUACAGCAUCACAAUAAUAACUAUUUUCAUCGUCACAUUUAUAUUCUCAACUUGCUUUUAGUGAGAACAAAACUUAUGAGAAUAUACAUAAAAGGUUAGGGGGUAAUAAUUUAUUUCUUGAAUAAUAGUAAUAUGGUUACGCUAAAAGAAUGGUGGCUAAUAAUGUGAAUUAUAGUCUUGUAAAUGUUUAAAUUUGUAAAUGAUUUCUUCUAUACUAAAAAAUGAUUGCACACACAUUGAAAGAAGAAAACAAAUUGAGAUUUUAUUUAUGAACAUUUUUCAUAAGUAAAUAUGGAGAGGGUUAAUAGAAUUUACUUAUAAUAAAUAAUAUACCAGGUCAAAUGAUCCUUUAAGGAUUGCACUUGCAGAUGUGCCAAGAGAUUUCUUCAGCAAAACUGUCAAAUAUCAUACACCUUGUCUCACAAAUAUGAUCCAUGAUUUUAAGCUGAACCCAAAACCUAAUCAUUAUGUUUAGGAUAAAACAAUAAAGUUAACAAUGUAUAAUAAAAAGGUGAAAUGUCAUUAAAUAAUCUAAUAAAUUAAACUCACUUAGGGGAUAUGUGUGAGACCCCAGUUUGCAGAGAGGUUUAAAUGAAUUUAUUUGGCCACCAAUCUCACCAAAGUGCACUUAUCUUUCGGUAAAAGAUCCUGAGAGAACUCCAUACUUAAGCGUACUUAUGCUGGAGUAGUCAAAGGAUGGGUGACCUUCCGGGAAUCGGUUGUCGGAACUAUGUGAGUAAGGCCAAAAACACAGGGAAAGAUCAUGUGGUGAUUUGUAGGGUUGGUAAACAAGUCUUUAAGACGUAGCUAACCGGUCGUCGGAUAUUAAUGGGCUCAUGGGCCUAGUAAGAGGACAUGAGGCCAAUUUAGAGAGGUGCGCCCAUGGGCUGGUGGUGAACAUGGGCUCAUUGGAAAUAUGGUGGUCAGGGCGUUACAAUUUGUAUAAGAGCCGAACCUAGACAUGUGUGGAUUGGUGGGCUCACACUAUUAGGGGGUGACGAUCGUUGUGCGCAACGAGGACGUUGCGAUCUGUUAGUGGGGGAGAAUUGUGAGACCCCAAUUUGCAGAGAGGUUUAAAUGAAUUUAUUUGGCCACCUAUGUCAUCAAAGUGCACCUAUCUUUCCGUUCAAAUGUCCUGAGAGAACUCUAUAGUUAAGCGUGCUUAUACUGGAGUAGUCAAAGGAUGGGUGACCUUCCGGGAAGUGGUUGUCGGAACUGUGUGAGCGAGGCCAAAAACGGGAAAGAUCAUAUGGUGAUUUGUAGGGUCGGUAAACAAGUCUUUGAGCCUCUCAGACGUAGCUAAGUGGCCAUCGGAUAUUGAUGAGCUCAUAGGCCUAGUGAGAGGACGUGAGGCCCAUUACGAGAGGUGGGCCCAUGGUUGGUGGUGAACAUGGGGCUCACUGGAAAGAUGGCGGUUGGGGCGUUACAAUACGCCUUUAGCGUAAUCUUUACACGUCUCACACCAGAAUUUAGGUAUAGGUUGUUUUUAACAUCUUCUAGCUUUAUCGUGUCCUACUUGAUGGUUUUUUUUUUGCAUUUCUUACAUGCAUAGUAGAAACAAGAAUAGUCAGUAUCAUUUUCCGUAAUGGUACAAAGGGUUCGACAACAACCAACCUUAAACAAUUUAUAACUAUAUGAUUACAUUGAAAUUUAUUCAUGACAUAAUUAGGGGUAAAACAAUACGUUUAUAUACAUCAUAUGUUGCACGAUGCUCCUCAAUAGUCAUGAUGGGAUAAUCAUCUAUAUCUUCCUUUUUAUUACGGCCAAAGAGAGAACUUGUUUGUAAACUACCCACGAUUGUCAUUUGCAAACCGUCACUCUAUGGGGUGUGACAUAUAUACAAUUUAGAGUAAUAGUUCGUACUAAUUUUUAAUUUAUAUAAUAUAGUAAUUCUUUGCAAGACGUACCUUUUUCGGAUGUUCAAAAAACGGUAUGUUCAAAUUAGUAAGUUAUUGUGAGGAGUCAUAAGAAUUAGAGACACUCCAAACAUCAGAAUGUAUGAAUAAAUAUAUAUAUGAAAAGAAUAUCUUAAAACGAAUGACUUUUGUAAACUAACAGAAAAUAUUUUAAACCGAAAUUUACGGCAGGUAUAGUGUAAUGCCCCGACCGCCAUCUCUCCAGUGGGACCCAUGUUCACUACCAGUCCAUGGGCCCACCUCUCUUAAUGGGCAUCACGUCCUCUUACUAGGCUCAUGAGCCCAUCAAUAUCCGACGGGCGGUUAGCUACGUCUUGGAGGCUUAAAUACUUGUUUACCGACCCUACAAAUCACCACAUGAUCUUUCCCUGUGUUUUGGCCACAGUCACACAGUUCCGACAACCAUUUCCCGGAGGGUCACCCAUAUUUUUGACUACUCCAGCAUAAGCACGCUUAACUGUGGAGUUCUCUCAGUACCUUUGACCAAAAAGAUAAGUGCACUUUAGUGAUAUAGGUAGCCAAAUCAAUUAAAUUAAACCUCUCUGCAAUCAGGAUCUCACAAUUCUCCCCCACAAAUAGACCACAACGUCCUCGUUUCGCACAACGAUCGUCACCCCCUGACAGUGUGAGCCCACCACUUUACACUUGUCUGGGUUUGGUUCUGAUACCAUGUGUAACGCCCGACCGCCAUCUUUCCAGUGGGCCCCAUGUUUACCACCAGCCCAUGGGCCCACCUCUCUUAAUGGGCCUCACAUCCUCUUACUAGGCCCAUGAGUCCAUCAAUAUCCGGCGGUCGGUUAGCUACGUCCUGGAGGCUUAAAUACUUGUUUACCGACCGUAGAAAUCACCACAUGAUCUUUCCCUGUGUUUUGGCCUCACUCACACAGUUCCGACAACCACUUCCCGGAAUGUCUCCCAUUAUUUAACUACUCCAGCAUAAGCACGCUUAACUGUGAAGUGAUGUUUUCUCAGUACCUUUGACCGAAAAGAUAAGUGUACUUUGGUGACAUAGAUUGCCAAAUCAAUUCAUUUAUACUUCUCCGCAACCGGGGUCUCACAUAUAAUUGUUGCCUAAUAUACGUAAUAUUUGGAUAUUUAUUUGAACAUGAUGGCCCAUAAUUUCGAAAAUAGUUUUUAGGCCUUUUAAAUUGUAUUAAUUUUUGAAAAAGUUUGACAGGUAAGAUUAGACGUUUCUAGUUAACAAAAACAUAUGACUAAUUCGUAAUUGUAAAUAAAAUAUGAAGAUACUAAUAAUGAUAUAUUAAAAUUUGUCCAUACCACAAAUCAUCAUACAUGAAAUUAAUACCACAAAACAUAACACAAAUCAUCCCAAAACAUUGUCUAGACAACAACAAAAUGAAAUUAAAAACUGAGUCCAAAACAAAUAGAGAUUUUAAAACGUCUAAUCAACAUCCUUCAUAGUUACACUAGCGUUCUUCCCACGUAUACUCAGCAAGUCGUUCACUUCCUCUACCAACAUUAAACACAUAUUUCAUUAUAGUUAUGGUCAAAACAUUUGUUUAAUGGUACUAUAAGCUAUGUUUUUGUAAGGCUGUAAUGGAUGAUCAUAAUUUUAAUACACAAAUCAUCUUAAUUGGGUACUUACAGUAGAAUAACCAAGUUCAUUUCUUCAAACUCUUGGUCCAAUAUGAUUCUGGAGCAUCCAUACUGUGAAAUGAUACAUUGUUCACCUAGUAAUGAUAUACGAUAAGAAAAUAAUAUAAACAUUGAACUUAAGUAUUUAUUUUUAUUUUUUAAAAAUAAAAUUAAGAAGUAAAUUAAAUUAUAACCUUCAAAUUCGGAUAUUCUCCAGAAACGCAAAAUACACAUGAUAGGUUUAUCUACCAAAUCAUUAAAGAUAAGAUCCUCCCAACUGCUUUGAAAUUCUCUUGCGGAUUUCCCUACCGUAAGUCCAUAAGAGAUAAGAUUUCCUUUUGCCUGUAGAAGAGAACAUCAGAAAAUCAACUUAGUGAAGUACCAAGAAACUAAUAACAUAAUAUUUGAAUAAAUGGAAGACAUAAUUAUUAUACGUUUCAUAUGUGAAUGUGAAGGUUACAACGCUUUCCGCAUAUAAAUAUCCAUUUUCUCCAUCCACAUAAGUGAUUUCACGCAUUUGGGAUACAUUUGAAACAAUACCACAUGCAUCUGAAGAGGUAAUGAGUUUAAUUAUAAGUACGAUAAUAAACUUAACAAAUAAAACCAUUAAAUUAUCAUAAUUUUGAGAGAGAAUCACAAAAUAAGAGUUGAUUAUUAAAAUGAUAAUCAAGUGUUUUUCAUCGGGUGGGCUUUAAAUGUUGUUAUCUAUAGGGCUUACUAAAUACACUAUACUUGUCCUGAAAGUGUCAAUAUCUUAAUUAACCUUCACAAUAUCGGUGGUCGAGACAAUGUUCCCCCGAGCAACUUUUGCAGAGAUGUGACCGGCACAAUCCUAAAAAGUCAUCUCAUUAAAGUAUGAUAUCGAAUAAUAAUAGGUUAAUAAGAUAAGGUUAAUGAUAUUCCGUAUAACGCAGAAUCCCAAUUAGAAUUGAUUUGCAAACUUACAUGAGAUCAUUGUCUUUGCAACCAUCACCCAUAGCAACCUGCUAUCAACGACCACGUUAACUAGGAGGAUGUCCAUAAUAUACAUAACAAAAAGCGCGCUCUAAAUAGAAGAAACCACUAACAUCAUCAUUAUCGGCUAAUUUAUCCACAUGACCAAUAGCAGAGUUUAUAUCGACUGCUCCUACAGCGGCCUGGGAGGAAAUAAACAGAACCAAUGGUUAGAGUCCGCAGAAAAAGAGAUGGGCAAUGUGUAUAGAAGAAAUAACAGCAUGUACCAGACUGAUAUUGGCUUCCUCACCCUCAACAACCAAGGGUAGAUUAUCGGGGGCGUCACUGUCAUUUCCCACACGAGGGGUGACGUCGCCACUUAGUUCACGAAAACCACUAGAAGACCCCUGAUCCAAAGUAAAUAUACAAAUAUCAAGCAAUCAAUGUAUCGUGCGAUUCAAGUGAAGCACAUAAAUAAAGCAUUAGCGGGUAAUUAAGCAAAUAUCAUAUAACCAAUAACUUAAUCCUGUAAAAGAAUACUAAUCGAGUAAGAUGAAUAUUGCCCGGAACCACUUGCCUUGUUAUACCCAACAGCAGGUAACUGUUCCGCACUCCCGCAAGUUCCCUGCACCAGGUUUUCGUAAAGGUUAGAUAUGAAAAAAGUGAAAGCGUAUCAUUCCACGUUUGACUUAUUCGUUGGAUGUGACAGAUACCUCUGUAACAUUGGCUGGAUAAUGCAAAAGAAUAUCAGCAACGGGCCAACGGCAGAAUCGACGGGGUCAGUGGGGGUUGAUCCACAUCCAUAUGAUUGGUGGCUUCUGGAAUCCUGGGCAGAUUAGAUCCACGUACAGGCGAUGUCUGAGGAGAAGAAUUAGUCCUCUGAUCUGCCGAAGAAUCACCGUCGCUUCCAUCCUAGUUUUUGGGGGUUGCACAGAGUCCGUUGGUUGUAAUCCAGCUGGUAACACGCUUGAAGAUACGGUCCUCCAUUGAGGAAAUUUCAGAGUCCAACAUAGGAGAGAGAGUGGCAAGAUUGCAUGUGCCAGUCAACCGCGAAGAGUCAGAGGCAGUGGGAGGCGGGUGUUUAAAUUUUGAUGCUUGGUUAGGAGGAGGUUUUUGCCCUUUGCGAGCUCGGCUAAUUUUUGCAAGGACCCCCUUUUCUGCUUCUUUGGUGCCAACUCCAGCUGAGAAGGUAUGCAACCGCCAGUGAACAUGUCGUUGUUGAAUAGGAAUCCAGACUCCGCAAGAGACAAUAUAUUGUCUACAGCCACGUCUUCACAUUCAUCAUCCCAUGUCAAAUCCUCAGCAUGAUCCAUCUCAAGGUCCGGGAAAAUAACAGGGUCAACCAAAAUCUGGAACAGAAAAUGGAUAACAAUUUAGUUAUAAGUUUUGGAUCUAAUAUUAACUAAAACUAUUAAAUACAUAUUUAGUUAAGACCACAAUUUAAAAAGAUUUACUUAUUUAAUUACGUGAUAACAAUUUCGUUAUCAGUAUCAAUUAAAAAACUAGAUAAAGAUAAGUUUAGAUAUUAACCUCACAAAUACCAUCCAAUCGUUUUGCAUUUGAUAUUUUCAACGUUACCGAGCUACGGUUCCCAACAUCGGCCGCAGGUUCUUCCUGUGAAUCGCUACAGGGAAGUUCGUCCGCUGGUGACCCAUCUUGAAUAGCUGGCGCAGCUUGAAGGAUCACGAGCUGUAAUGCGUAUAAUACGCCUUGGACGGUGACACAAGUGGUAGCUAAUUGCACAACAUCCCGGUCUUUGAUAGACUUCAUCAUCGUCUCAAAUGACAAACGCCCCCAAGGGUAUCCAAGAAAGAACUGAAGAUCCUCACACAUCUUGGCGUGUUCUUUGACAAUUUUGGGGUAAUGAGAAGUUGGCACCAAGAAGCCAUCUACUAUGGCCAGGCAAGCGAAUCUUUUCCGAAUUUCCUUGUCCGUGACAUGCCUCUUCUUAAGCAUGGAUAUGACCCGAUCAACAAUAACAUCUUCCUCUAGUCCGAAUAGAGUACUAUAGUAAGUAAUUUUCUUCCCAGUCGUCCAUUUCCUAUUUCUCUUUUGCAUGUUUGGAAACCUCCCACAAUUUAGCCCAGUGACGAUCUUGACUCUCGGAGUGAGAAUUGAAUCGGUGUCCCGGCAAAGACGACCCAGAUUUCGUGAGGCUUGGCCACUUCAAGCUGUCUUGAUAGAAGAAAAAGCCCAAACGAGGCAGACUAGGCCGGUUUGUUGGGGAAAUCCAAGAGAUUCUCAAAUGAGGUCGAUCUGAGCCAAUCUCUCUCCUCAUCAUCCAUUGCGUCGAAGAUCAACGAAAGGUUUUUCAUCUUGUUAUAAACAUUGACUCUUUUGCCCAGCGGCUCUUCUCCGAAAGCAAUAAUCCGAUUGGGUAGUUCCAGAUCCGUCAUCUACAAAUUUUGAUUUAGGUUAUGGUACAAAAAUCAAAUAACAGCCAAGAACAUACCAAAUCGGAACAGGCUAAGAACUCACCGUGAAUAAAUAGGAUAAAAAUCUGAAAAUCAGAAGGUUUCGAGAAAUAUGGUCCAAAAAUCCAGUCUGAGAAUAGAGAGGAAGCCAAAAAGUUUGAGGAAGAUCGGUUGCAAACUAAAGAAAUGCUCAAGGGGCGUAAACCUAAUAUAUUCCCGAAACGCCACGACCGCCGCUGCUAUACAAUCAAACCAAGGCGAUGAUUCAAAAAUAACACACCCUAUCUUUUUUUUUUCCCUAGGCUGGAAGAAAUCCAUACUAAAGAUUUAUUUGCAAUUUCUCUGAGCAAAUGAAAGCCUACAGACUAAGAGGUAUAUAGGGCUAAUAUCGAAACCGAUUUAAAGAGCUAAUUUAGAAAAGAAGAGAGCAGUCUAUUCGAAUAAUGGUCAACUGAGUACAUGGGUUGUAGUCUUGUAGAUACCCUUAUCUAUAUAGAAGGGGGUUUGGCAACAAAAAUAUCUGUUUUAAUAUUACACUAGGUUCGGACCCGCGCUACAGCGCGGGGGAAUGUUUUCGGUUCAUUGUUUAUCAUAUGUGUUAAUAUUUUGUUUAUUUUAGUAUCAACAAUUAUUAUUUCGAAAUAUAUUUGGUUACAAUUAUUUGGGAAAAAUGUGUAUACAGAAAUGAAAUACAAUAUUUAAAUAAAACAUAUAAAAUAACGUAUAUUAAAAAAAUACAAACUCACAAUAUAUAUUGUGACGAACCAACCGGUAAAGAUCCGUGUAUUUAUAAAGAAUCAUGAAAAAUAGAAGUUUAAUUAAAUAAAUAUAAUUGAAUCAUGAUAUAAAAUGAGUAUAAUUGAAAAAUGAGAAUUUUAAAGCCCUAUAAGAUAAAAGUAUAACUAGCUUUUAAAUUUGAAAUAAAAGUUACGUCAUAAAACUCAAAUGUUCGUAUGAUAACAAUCAUAAUUUUGAUUCACUUAACUAACUUUCUAAUAAGAAAAACUUAUGUAGUAUACUCUUAGUAAAUAUAGUGAUUUAGUUAAUAUAAUAUAAGGAAUAUUUUAUGCUUAAUAUUCAGCUAAAUUUUUAUAUUUUAUUUUAUAUUUUCAAAAGUACUUAAAAAUAAGUAUAAUAUUUUUUAAAAAUAAUAAAAUUGAUUAAUUAGUUAUUAUUAUUGCUUCCCAAAUAAUAGUAAUGAUAAUUUGUGUAAUAUUUUUUAUAUUAAAAAAUUAGAUGACAUGAGCUCCCUAAAUUUAGUCUUUCACCCCCCCCCCCUAAAUUAAUAUAAAAAUAUAUGAGCUCCAUAACUAAUUUUGCAUUAAUUAUGCUAAUGUUCAAAUAUUUUUCCAUUUUUUAUAAGUCAUUCAAACUGAUAAAGAUAUGGAAUAAUCUUGGAACUCUUUCAUAUAUUCUUAUUCUGAUUAAAAUCUUUCAUUGUACAUAUUAGGAAAGAUAAAAAAAUAAUAAUAAUAAGGAUCAAAUAUAAUUAUAAACAUCACACCAAUUCUUAUUAUUAAAUUCGUUAUAUAUAUAUAUAUAAUUAAUAAUAAAAUUAAUAUAUAUAUAUAUUAAAUUCGUUUUAUUAAUUUUAUUUUAUGAUUUUAAGAAACAAUUAACUAAACCCAACUGAUUAUCAUUUUAAUACCAUUAUCUAUGUAGUUUUAUGUGCAUUUUUUAUAUUUGUUAUACCAAAUAUUUUUAAAGUAUGUUUUAUAUAUAUGUUUUUUUCCGUAAAAGAGAAGUACAAAUGGGAUAUGGAUCGGGUUAUUUAAAAAAAUUACCCGAAAUUCUGAAUUUGGAUAUUUAAAAAACGGCAAAAAAACGGAUCUGAAUAAUACCGAUUAGUCAUUUAAGUAUGAAUUUGCGAAAACUUCUCAUUUGCGAAAACUUCUCAUUUAAAAACAUGAAGCGGUGGAUUUUGAAUCAACCAGCUGUGUGCAUAUGUACAUUAUUGUGCCUCCUCCAAUGACGGUAAGAAUAGUUUUUUUUUUUUUUUUUGAAAAAGGCUUGCAAUUUAAAUAAUAAUGCCCAAUGGGCUUACAUAUUUCCGGAAUAAGCCCAUACAAUAACCCCAUAGGGCCCAAUCUGACAUCUAACCAAACUAAACCAAACUAAAACAAAACCGAUCCGGUUUCGGAGUACCAAAAUUAACCGGUACCCACAGAAACCCUAAUCUACAACGCAAAACGCGUCGCAGCCGCCAUCCACAACUGCGGAUGCACACCGACCGGACCUCCGGUGUACCUGGACGACGCGGAUCGAACGGAGGAGGUGAUCCAAGAUCCGUUUGCCUCUCCGCCACCGUAGAGAAACUUUGAGGAAGAGGAAGAAACCGAGCUGUUGGUGUCGAGAAAGCUUCAAGCUCCGACGUGAGAUUGAAAGGCGGUAGGGAGUAGAUCUAGGAACCGUCAACAGUGGCUUAGCUCCACCCGACCGGAGUCAACCUCCCCCAUCAAGCGGCGGCCUAAUGAAGCCUCCAGGAUCUCCGGUUCCAGACCUAACCGUCUUCUCUCUCAUGCUUCGCCGUGAAAACUUCCUCUUCCAUUCUGCGGCGCUACACCCCCGGUGGAGUCAUCGACGGUGUCUCGCAGAAGCUAUCCCUCUUCGCUUCUCCCUUGAUUUUGAUUCGUUUGUGAAGCUUAGAAGAUGCAGCAGAUUGCGUAGUUGAAGAACCAUGAGCCAUAGAGUCCUCAUCGUCGCCGGAAUCGACGGAGGACCCAUCGGAAAAGCAAGAAGUUGUGCUCAGAAGAAGAAAGAGAAGGGAGAAAGAAAUCGCCGCGAGUGGAUCUCACGCGCACGAUUUCUUCCUUUUACUGGUUUCGGUAAGAAUAGUUUACACUCCCAUUCUCUGAAAAUAACUUUUUUUGGGGUCUUGGUAUAUCUUCCCAACAAAUGUUUAGUAUUGUUUCAUUAUGAUUUACAUUGCAGGAAAUAAAGACGGGUCAAAAAUUGCAUAAAUAGUAAAACAUUUCUGUGGUGACUCCUCGGUCCUCAGUGUUACAUGUCAUAACUCAUUAGUCAUCCCUAUAUUAGUAAAAAAGAAGUACAAAAAGUGCUUUCGGGUCGGGUCAAUUUCAAAAAAUUACCCAAAAUCUGUAAUUGGAUCUUUUAAAGUUGGAUAGAUUAAUGGGUUUGGAUACAUACACCGGAUACUUUCCAAAUCUAAUUUUAGGAUUAUAUUAUUUCCAUAACUAAUUAUAGGAUUUACUAAUAUUUCUCUAACUAAUUUAAUACAAUCUAUUUAAAAUAUUAUUCUUCUUUCACUUUUAUUUGAUAUUAUUUUUAAUUUAUGAUAUUAUACUAUAUAAGAUAAAUAUUUAAUAAAAGUUUCACUUUUUUUGGAAUAUGUUGCAAUUUGAAUUUUUCAAAACGGACAUAUAAUACUCAACUACACUCGGUUAAAUAUUUUGGACAAUGGUUUAAAAUCAUUAUAAGUAUGACCAAUAUUAAAACAGUGGUUUCAAAAUAUUAUAAAUAAAAGGUUCAAAUAUAUAAAACUUUUAGAGUUUAAAAUAUUGAAAUAUUUUUUUAAAACAUAAAUGUAAUUUUGGAGACAUAAUUUUUAUUGAUAAAAUAUAUUAUAUAUCAAACUACGUAAAUUUUAGAUAAUUCACGGGAAAUUUGUUAAAAUCACAAUUAUAAUGAUAAAGCGAGUUACGAAUAAUUUUUUUCACGAAAUGAAUUCUGUUACGGAUUGGGCUUUCAAAAAAUAUAUUGUAAAUAUGUAAUUUUUACGUAUAUUCCUACUUUUACUACAAAAAUUGUCAAAAUGAAUAAUUUAUCGACAAAUAUUAUUUCGUGCUGUUAAAUUUUCACCGUGUUUUUCAUUGUAUCAAAACUCAGUUUAUGAUUAUUUACUCGCUUUUUCCUUUAUUAUUUUAUUUAAACUUAUUAUACAAAUAUAUGAUUUAUUGUAAUCGAUUGCACUCUAACAAAAUUAAAAUGUAACAUAUUCUAAUCCGUUAAAAAUUAUAUAUAUGUAAUUAUUUCCCCCGCGCUGUAGCGCGGGUCCGAAUCUAGUUAAGCUUUGUAUAAAUGGUUCUAUUUGUUUCUCCUUUUUGUGUAACUCAUAUGCUUUGUAUGGACGAUUAAUUAUUUAAUUUGUAUGUCAAUACGUAUUCCACUUCGAUUUAUUAUAUCUACUACAUAUACAUCAUAUAUAUAAAAUUUAAUUAACCCGGAACUGGAUCUUUAUGAAAUGGUAUGCCCGAUUACAAAUGGAUAUACUCGAUUAUAAUAAAAAUUGUCAAAAAAACACUGACUUAGCUAAUGAAAAAAGGAAACAAGCAAUAACAAGUAUAUGACCAUAAUAAUGUGAAUAUUAUAGUAUCCAUAAUACAUUUGAUUAAUAUGCAAAUAUUCUCUACACACCUUAUUCAAAUAUGUGGGAUACUAUAAAAAUUUUAAUAUAGUAAAACGAUCCUAUAAAAAUUUAAAUAUAGAACAGUUUAAUAUUAUUUACUUCAAAAAACCUUCUAAACACAUAAUUUUAUAACUCCUACAAUAUAGGUUUUUUUAUAAUUCAAUAUUAAUAUAGAAAAUCAAUCCUAUAAAUAUUUAAAUAUAGAACAGCUUAAAAUAGUAUUUACUUGAAAAAAAACUUCCAAACACAUAAUUUCAUAACUUUUACAUAAAUAGUCUUUGUUAUAAUGCAAUAUUAAUUCUAAAUACUAGAAACAAAAAUGUACUCAUUAAUAGACAUAAUUAGCAUUACAAUUAUUCUAAAUUUUUUUGCGAGGUCUCAAUACAUUACAAUUUACCACACAAAAAUAAAAUAUUUUUGAAUCGUACAAAUUUUUCGACAUAUAUAUGAUUCCCCAUUAUCAACUACAUUUAUUUUAAAAAACAAAGACACAAACCAUAUUCGCUACUGUCUUCGGGUACUUUUCAAUACAAUCUUAUUAGAAAAAAUGGUGUUACAAAUAGCAAAAUCAAUAUUUGCCAAAAAAAAAACAUAUUCUUAAAAUGUAUUUGUACUAAUUAGUAAAAUCAAAUCACUUUAAUAAUAUCUGAAAAAUUUUCUCCGCGCUGUAGCGCGCGUCCGACUGUAGAUAUGUUAUUAUUUGUAAAGAUUGAGAGUUUAGUUAAUUAUUUUGAAAAAUCGUUUAAUAUUGUUUUCCGUAAAUAGAUUUGUUAGCAAUAACAAAGUAUCCUAAGUUAGUGGGAUAGUAAAUAUGGCAUCGACGAGGCAAUCUGGAAACUUAUUGAUGGCCAACACUUUUAUGAAAUGUCAAUUUAUUAACGGGUCAUAUCCAUAUCCUAAUUGUGAUUCGUUUUCUAAGUAUCCAUUUAAUCUAAUCGGGUAAUAUUUUUAAAAAUUUCUGAAAUAACACGACCCACGAAAUUUUUGUACUUCUCUUUUACUAAUAUAGGGAUAUUAUAUCAAGUUUAAAAUUAAAAUUUCAAGAUUAAAAUAAAAAUUAUAAUUUGUAUAUCAUUUUUUUGUAAUUGGUAAACUGAAAAUAAAAAUGUGGAGAAGUUAUUAAAAAAAAACCUAAAACUAAGAAUAAAAGAGAAAUAAACUCUACCCUCUACAGCUCUACUAGACCACAGAUACAAUCAUACACUUGUCAUCAUCAACAUUUUUCAUCACAAUGGAUACGAGUCACGACAAAACAUUUGGAUAUAUAUUUUUAUUUUUUUCCUUCUCCGUUUAGAAAAAUCCAGUCCAGAGAAAAAUGUUGUAUUCAUGAUCAUCCAAUCCAACUCACGAAACAAGGAUUGUAGCAAUGGCGUCUCUUUCUCUCACCUCUGCUCAUUUCUCUUCAUCUCGCUCCUCUGUUUCCACUUCAUCGCUUCCUCCUUCGUCUCCUUCCUUCCCUCUCUUACGCUCACCGAUCCGCCGUCGUCACCAUAGCCUCCGCCGUCGUCUCUCCUUCUCCGUCGUUCCUCACCGGACUUCUCACUCCUCCUCCACUUCCAAUUCUCAGGUAUUUCUUCUAAUUACUGAUUCAAUCCAGUUUACUCAAAUGUGUAAUCAUAUAAUUUGGUCAAUUUGGAGAAUUAAUGUGAUUUGGAGUGUAGAUUAGGUGUUCGACAAAUGAGCCAUUGAAGGUGAUGAUUUCGGGAGCACCUGCUUCGGGUAAAGGUACUCAAUGUGAGCUCAUUGUGAACAAGGUAAUCUAUUUCACUUCUCUGUUUCUUGUUUAGUGAUUCUCUGUAUGACAACACAAAUGAUACAUUGCAUUAGUUUGUAUAACCAUGAUAACUAAUAAACACCAAAUCUUAUGGUGUACAUGAAUCUUUUUCGAUAUGUUAACAUGUAUAUAUGUUUUGGAUAUCUUUCAAUGAAACUCUGCUGGAUAGAGAGCUUUUAUUAGUGCAUCUGUGAGUUUAACAUGUGACUACUGUUAUCAGUCCAUCUUGAAUCUUUUGUGAUAACAAUGGUGUAAUUUGGAUGUCAUGAUGCAGUGUAGUUAAUUAGAUGAGUUAACGAGUAGUCAAGAAUGGUGUUCUGACUAAGUAUAGUAUAUACAAAAAGUUGUCUAUUUCCGUGAAUUCUGUGAAACCAAGAAUCCAGAAUAUGCAUUUUAUAGUAACAAAACAAUGUAUAUGAUCUUCUCUCUGUGUUUAAACACGAUGUCGAACUAGAAUCUGUGAAACCGUUAAGUAAUACGAUAUGGAUGUUGUGUCGUAUGAAAAGGAGAACGAGCAGAGCUUGUAAACAACAUAGGAAAUAUCUGCUCUUGUUUUAGUUUUGUAACCCUAUUCUUUUUUCUUUUUUUUACCUUCAGCAUCUUCACUAUGUUUAAGAUUAUGCUGUUGAUGUUUGCAUGUUUAGUUGUAGAUCAUGUCAGGUUUUUCUUUCUUGCCCAUGCAGUUUGGUUUGGUGCACAUAUCAACGGGAGAUCUCUUGAGGGCAGAAGUUUCAGCCGGGACAGAUAUUGGAAAGAGAGCAAAAGAGUUCAUGAAUUCUGGUAGUUUGGUUCCAGAUGAGAUUGUUAUCGCGGUACUGAUUUCACUUACCUUCUUCAUAUAUAUAUUAUUUCUAUCAUUCUUCCUCUGAUAUCUACUACUUUUCUAGAUGGUGGCUGGAAGAUUAUCACGUGAAGAUGCUAAAGAGAAAGGAUGGCUUCUUGAUGGAUUUCCUCGAAGUUUUGCUCAGGCACAAAGUCUGGACAAACUGAACGUCAAACCUGACAUUUUUCUUUUAUUAGAUGUACGUGCAAAUUGCUCUUAUUGCGUAUGGUAUCCAUUUUCUCAAUAGGUGUUAAAGGCAAUAUUAUAUGUGUCUAUGGUUCUUUGCUUAUUUUCCGUUCUUAAUAACAGGUUCCUGAUGAAAUUCUAAUCGACAGAUGUGUUGGUAGGAGGUUGGAUCCAGUGACUGGAAAAAUUUAUCACAUUAAAAAUUACCCUCCAGAAUCAGAUGAAAUUAAAGCAAGACUGGUUACACGCCCUGAUGAUACAGAGGAGAAGGUAAGACUUAGGACUUAUUACUCGCUUCCUCAAUCUUUAACUAUCUUUAACUGUAAUCUCAUUUGUUUAGUUUGGUGAAGGUAAAAGCACGUCUGCAGAUAUACAAACAAAAUUCUGAAGCGAUUAUUUCUGCAUACUCGGAUGUUAUGGUCAAGGUAUUAGGCAAUUUUUUUCCUUUCUUGCUUUAGUUCUUAAAAGUAUUGGGAUACCAUCAUUUAUAACUUUGGUUUGGUACCAUCCCAUUCAAACACAGAUUGAUGCAAACAGGCCAAAAGAAGUGGUUUUCGAGGAGACGCAGACUCUAUUGUCUCAGAUACAGUUAAACAGAAUGAUAAAGACUGGCAAGUAGUCACACAUUUGUAUAUGAUUAUUUUUCGUGGUGCCAUUCUUGAUAGCAGGGUCAGUGUUUUCCAGUUCAAGAUGAGUUUUCCCAAUCUUAACUUUUGUCAAGUCUCUACUUUAGGUUAUUUAGAAAAUGCUUUCUUCAGUAAUCCGUCUCUUUGUGUCCAUUAGAAAAAAAAACCCAUCUUUAUGGUGUUCUUAUAGUUUUGAUACCAUCAUUCUUAACUUCCCUUAGUAUGUUUGAAGAUUUUAUGGUCAAUCAUUCUUUUGUAGGACUAAAUUAUUCCUUUUACUCCUUGUUUAACUUUGAUUUGAUUCCCACUGUAUGCAUGCGACGCUAAUUCUGAAACAGGUCCUUGCAGAUAAAGCAUCUCCUGUUCAGGUUCGUAAAUAAUACUUCUCUUUGAAGCUACCAAGUAGCAAGUAGAAGGAAGUAAAUUUGGAGUUUUUCUUAUCUAUGUCAUGUAACAUUUCUUCCAGGAUAAAUGGAGAGGAAUACCGACGAGACUGAAUAACAUUCCACAUUCGAGGGAUAUCAGGGCUUAUUUUUACGAAGAUGUCCUGCAAGCCACAAUUAGAUCUAUCAAGGACGGGAACUCACGUCUUCGGGUGAGCUGAUCCCCACAAAUCUAUUUGCAGUGUAGCAUGUUAGGUUUGACUUGACUGAUACUGUUACAAAUGAUUAGGUGGACAUAAAUAUCCCAGAGCUAAAUCCGGAAAUGGUCAGUUAUUCAUUUCACUAGUUAUUUUCUAUUAUUUCUAAUGCUUCACAAGUUUUAUCAAAACUCACAAGCUAUUGUGAUAUAUAUAGGAUGUUUACCGGAUAGGAACCUUGAUGGAACUUGUCCGAACUCUAGCGUUAUCAUUUGCUGACGAUGGAAAACGAGUGAAGGUAUACAUUGGUUUGGUAGACUCAGUGAUGUCUCACUUGGAUAUUCUCUUUCAGUCAGCUUCUUUCCCCUUUCCAGGUUUGUGUUCAGGGUUCAAUGGGGGAAGGUGCACUCGCUGGGAUGCCACUGCAGUUGGCAGGCACUAGAAAGAUUUUAGAAUAUAUGGACUGGGGUGAUGAUGAAACUUUGGGAACUUUCGUCAAGCUUGGUGCAAUUGGUAACAUACGAAACUCAGUACUUUACAAAAUAUAUCGGCAAAACACUAAAAAAUACCUCUCGACAUUAUCAUAGUCCAUUUUGUCUGAGUUUAGUAACAAGAGAAUCUUACAAGAACUGCACCAUCUCAGAAUAUUGUUGUGUGUACACAAUCAAACUUGUGAUGCAUAAGAAGUUAGAUAUAUUUGUCUGGAUACAAUUAAAAACACAUUAUCCUGCUCUUUGAUUCUUUUGAGGCAUAUAUGAACAAAGCUGUGUCCGCGAUGACAGGAGGUAAAGAAGUUGAUGAAGACGACGAUAUAUUUAUUUUAGUGGCUCCACAAAAUGCGGUUGGGAACUGUAUUAUAGAUGUAAGGUGCUUUGAAAUGCUAGAAGUAGUCAUUCACUUGAACAGAGUCAUCUCAUCUUAUAAUAAAAUAUACUGAAUUCUUUUGUUAGGAUCUACAAGCGAUGACUACUGCUGCUGGGAAAAGGCCAGUUGUACUUAUUAAUCCUCGCCUCAAGGUACAUUUUUGUGUGUAUUUUCUAUACAAAGAUUAUGUGGUAAAAUUGUUAUCUUUUGUGUGUUACAUGUUUGAUAAAACUUUAUUACAUUCAGGACUUACCCGCUUCAAGUGGAAUAAUGCAAGUAAGCACACACAAUGAUUUCCUAACCAUCUGAUAGAAAGGUUACAUUGCUUAUAAUUUCCUUGGUGUCUCAGACAAUGGGCAGGGAGCAAAGGCUUGAAUAUGCCUUAACGUUUGACAACUGCUAUGUAUUCCGGCUCCUCUAUUAUUUGGGAACACAAUACCCGAUUAUGGGUGCUCUAAGGUACAGUUGUUAGGUUGUGAGGUAUUGUUAUCAAUGUCAAUUCAUUCUGAAUCUUUGACCUGAAUUUGGUCAGGAUGUCUUAUCCUUACCGGUAUGAGCUUUACAAGAGGGUGAACGAGGAAGACGGAAAGGAGAAAUAUGUCUUGCUAGCAACGUUCUCUGAAAGGCCAACCCCUGAGCAAAUCGAUGAUGCCUUCUCUGGAAAAUCGCGGUAAAAUUGUUUCCAAUAGUGCUUCUUAAAACACUGGCUUUAUAAUCAUUUUGAACAAUAACUGAGAAUGUUUUUUCCACAUUCAGGGAUCAAAGCAAGAAGCCGUCAGGAAUCUGGUAAUGAACACGACUUAGUUAUACAAAUGAGGAUGGAUAUGUGCAUGUGUGUAAAGCUAAAUGUUAGGGAUACUUGCAGGGGGUUCUUGAGCAGCGUGUUUUCGUAAAGCAAGGAAGCUAAUGUUGUUGCUCAUCUACGAAACCUAGAGUGAUGCUGCUACUUUUUGUCCAUAGUUUCUCUACUUUGAUUAUGUCUCAAAGUGUUGAUAAUCUGAAUUUGGGGCAAACGAAAUUGUGAUUAUUGUAUUAAAUAGUGACACAUAACCAAAAGAGUAACCUCACUUUGAUACAUAUAUAUGAAAGCCAAAUCACGUACAUCCAAGAACAUUCUCGUCUACUACGACGGCUUUGAUUUCUAGUUGGUCAUCAGUCUCCUAAUGGCAGCUAACUUUGAUUUCUAGUUGGUAAUGCUAUGAGCUUUUCUCUAUUUUGAGCUUAGGAAACUUCUUCUUCUGAUUGGUAGACGAAUGGUCUCUAUCCGUAUUUCCCACAUGCAAGGAAAAUUGGUACCACUUGUGGCGUUGGAUGAUAAAUCUUUAACCAUAUUAUAAAGUAAUUAGAUAUUAUGGCAAAAGCUUGAACUAGUCCUAGCCAUAUUAUAAAGUAACUGGAUAUUAUGGCAAAAUCUUAAACUAGUCCUCGGCAUUUGGAUUUUCGGUUCGAUCUCGGUUCAGUAUUUUUGGUUUUUGGAUCGGAUAUUGAAAUUCAAAUUAUUAUCCAUUUGUUUUUUUAAAAGUUUUUUUGUUUGGUCUCGGUUUGCUUCCUUUCCAUUUUGGUUUGGUUCGGGAAUUUAAAUAAGAAACCGAUCUAACACCAAAAUUAUUUUUGAGUUUUUUUUUUUGUUUUGGUUCUAACCAAAAACUUCCGAUAUUUUGAGUUAAUUCAGGUAUAUUUCGGAUAUUUUUAGUGUUUUCAAAAAAUUUUAAAUACUUUUGGUUUGGUUUUGAUUCAAGUAUUUAGAUAAUUUGGUUUUUUCGUUUGAUUAUUUAGUUAUCUUUAUAUUUUUGGAAACUUUUUAGUUUUUCAGUCUAAAAUAACUAAUACUUUCAGGUAAAGAAUUGUAUUUCAGAUAUUUCAUAUAUCUCUUCGGUUCUCGAUUUGGUUUUGCUUUGGUACGAUUCAGUUUCAGAUACUUUUGGAUCAUAGUUUCAGAGUGUAAAAUCUAUUCGAUUUUUAGUUAAUUUUGGUUACACUAAUUUCGGUUCGGUUUCCAUUCGGCACAUUUGGUUUUGUUUUUUUUUUUCACACAAGAAUGCAAUAUCUGUCAACUAUUUUGUUUUGGGUAAGUUUUUUUCAACCUUAUUAACUGAAAGCGUAAUAAUGAAUUUAACUUUAACUUUAUCCAACAUGUCCACAAUCUCACCUAAUUUUUUGUUUUAAUGCAGCAAAGUAAGAAAAUAGCAAAAACACAAACAUACAUUAGCAUUUACGUGACGUGGAAUGUUUAUAUUGGAUAACAUAAAUUUGUCGUAGAGUAGUAGGCUCAGAAUCAAUGAACCCAAACCCAACCUCCAUAAUUGAAGAGGACGAACAAAAAAAAAAAAAAAGUGGAUUCUAAAAUUGAAAAUUGAAUGAAGCAACGAACGAUUCGAAUCUGUGUGUUUCGCGUUUGAUUGAUCCGGUGGAAGGAGGCGAUGACGUCGCCUGGAUCGAAGAAAGUUGUUACCGGCGAAGGAUCGGAGAAGAAUGUUUCCGGGAACCUCGGAAGAGUUAGUUUCACCGGAGAUGUUAAUGAUAGUGGAAGUAGUAGUCGUAGCAGCGGCGGCGGAGAAGGAGGAGGAGGAACCUUUGAGUGUUUUGGAUGGGUGUAUCAUUUGGGUGUGAAUAAGAUCGGUCAUGAGUACUGUAAUCUCCGUUUCCUUUUCAUUAGAGGCAAAUACGUUGAGAUGUAUAAAAGAGAUCCUCACGAGAACCCUGACAUUGUAAUUCCCUUUCCCUUGAUUUUGGUGUUUUCUGGAUUUUUUUUUUGGGAAUUUUGCUUGAAUCUUUAGUAUAUUUAGUGUUUGAGAAUCUGGGUGUUACAAGAAACAACCGUGGCUGUUGAAAAUUUUGCUUGGUUGCUUGGAAAUUUCAUAGGGAACUGUUUCUUUGCUUAGUUUAUGAAAAUGGUAAGUAUAUGGUAUCUAUCAGUAAGAACUGUGUAGGUGUGUUAUUGGGUCGUGAUCUUUGUUUAUCAAGGUUUUUCAUGGUUUUGAAUCCAUUGUUGCAUUACUGAAGGAUAUAGUGCUGUACUUAGAUGUUGGUUGGUUGUUUUUUUUUGAUGUGUUUUGAAAUUCUAUUAUAUCCGUUUGAUUUUUUUUUUUUGUUUCUAUAGAAACCUAUAAGGCGUGGUGUUAUAGGGCCGACAAUGAUGGUUGAAGAGCUAGGACGUCGAAAAGUUAAUCAGGGGGUAAUUCAUUUCAGUCUCAGCUUCUAUAACUGCAAUCUGCGUAAAUUAUAGAUCUGUUUUUCCCUGUUUUGCAUAUUAGUUGUAUGCUCUUAUAAAUGAGAGUUUGAGUCUAAAUGAAACAAGUACACUUACUAGUUUAUUUCUAUUGUAUUUUGUAGGAUGUGUACGUGAUAAGGUUCUAUAACCGGUUGGACGAGUCUAAAAAAGGAGAAGUAAGUUCAAUUUCCAUCUUUGCAAUAUACUUGUGACAAAUGCUUGUGCCAAAUGCUCACUAUACUUAAAGCUUGCCACUGUGAACAUGAUGAGUUUGCUCUGUGGAAGGCCUACGAUUUGUUUUGUGUAAUUGCACACUUGGAUGAACCAAUUAGUUAACUUUUUGAGCAAAUGCCUUGAAGUUCGUUUGUAAACAGUUUUGUUACCAUGAAAGUACAUAUCAGAAUCUAGAAUUAUAUUGUUUCUAGAUUAACCCAGGUGCAUUAAAUAACUUUUUUUUCUUUCUGGAAACUGUAUUUUAGAUUGCUUGUGCUACUGCUGGAGAAGCCUUGAAAUGGGUGGAGGCUUUUGAGGAAGCAAAACAGCAGGUACUACGGAGACUGUGUCCAAGUUGUAUAGCAUCAUGUAAUGUAUUGAAGUUUUCCUUGCAUAUGAUUGGCUACUUUUACAGUUCAUUUUGCUAUUGUUGGAGCAUUAAUAUAAUGCUUAUUGGGAUGAGGUAUUAGCUAUAACUUUCAAAAUAAAUUCCGAUUACUGCUUUAUCCUGUUUUGGAAGGCGGAAUAUGCACUAUCGAGAGGCGGAAGCACAAGAACGAAGUUAAGCGUGGAGGCCAAGUAUGAUCUAAUUAUCAUAUUAUUAGUGCCUUAGAUGAUAUUUACUAGUAGCUACUUAAUUCCUGUUUUGGGGGACUAACUGUUCAAUUACGGAGAAGAUGAGGCUCUUCCAACAGAAAAUGCAUAACAUUCUGAUGUUAUAGUCUCUGUUCUUAACCAGAUGAGAUUGUCUCCAAUAGUAAAAGUCCACUACGUACUGCUGAAUCACACUCUUGUAUUUUUUGUUUUUUGAAGCAUCGAUCUGGAAGGACAUCGACCUAGAGUAAGGCGUUAUGCUUAUGGGUUAAAAAAGCUUAUCCGAAUUGGGCAAGGUAAUAUGCUUUAUCUCAAGUUUAUGGACUUGUUUAGCUCCAGAAUCUUCCACAAGUAUGCCUAAACGUUCAGACAUGGUUUUUCAAAAGAGGAAGUGAAAAUGCUGUCAUGUUAUUUAGUCAACUUUCUCAUAUAUAUAGUGUAUAAUUUGUGUAGUAGCUUAUAAAGGAAUCGUCAAAUCUUACAUUUUAAAAAAGUUACUCUAGAAUUCUUUGCUAUUUCCUAAUCCCCCCUAUCUUUGUGUUGGGCACAUGCAAAAUGAUAUACUGGGGUAAUGUGUGUGCUAAAGAUUCUGAUUAUUUCUCAUAAAACUAGAUCGAUACCAUAUUCAAAUAUAUAUUAUCCUCAUCUCCUCUAUAUAUUAUUGAAACAAUAGUUAUAAUCCUUCAAUUCUUGAGUUUAUUAUGCAUUGAUAGGUCUGGUUCCUUAGUUAAAUUGAUUUCUUAAUAUCUUUAUCAAGUGGUUAUUCAUGAACAAGACUAGGGUUCACCUGAUAGUUACUUUUCGUCCAAAACAAAGAUGUGUGAUUAUGUUCUUAAACUGACAGGUCCAGAGACUCUUUUGAGGCAAUCCUCUACCUUGGUUAAUGAGGUCAGAGGUGAUGGUUUCUACGAGGGUGGUGACAAUGGAGAUGCAAUCGAGGCACAUAUGUGGAAAUGUGUACGUACAAUCAAUGGUAUGUUUGGCAGUACACAGUCGAGUUUUGAUAUCAGACAACCUACUCAUAACAGUUUUUCAUCUACUGAACCAAUAGUGGGGUCAAUUAGAAUGUCCCAUUUAUUUACGCGAUAACCAUGCUUUAAAAUGCAUUUAAUGUGGUGUCUCCUUUUUAUUAUGUAUACUUCUCUAUCAUUUAUAAUUGUAGUAGACUCAUAAAAACUGAAAGAAUGCAGACAUACUUGUCCAGUUUAUUUAGGUGGCUGUUUUUAAUCACUAAUCUGAAGGUUGUAUGGUAAUAUAGUAGUCCUUAUUGUUCAGAAUUUCGAGACUAUAAUGCCUAAACAUGUUGAUCUUUUUCUUUGCUUGCUCUUUAUACAUAACAUUCAAUUAUAUAUUUUUCUGUAUAUUGUUUGCAGGUGUUAGGAUUUUUGAAGAUGUGGCUAACUUCAAGGUAUAUUUACUUUUAUUCAGAGAAUACAUUUCCAACUAUAGCAGAACUGCUUGGAUUAUAAAUUCGGACCAAUGAGAAGAGAUUGGUCUACGGGUUGAAAAAGCCAUUAGUACAUUGGUGUGGGAGACGAUUGGGUCUUUUGUCCUUCUGAAUUGCGUUAAAUUAUUCCCAGAGGAAUGGAAACUGAACCAUCUUAUUUUAUUCUUCCAUUAUAAUAUUUGCUAUCUUGUGAUUUGCAUCUUACUAAUUCUUAUUGGCAAGGUAACAAUUUUAAAUUAGAUCCUAUAACUAAGUUUUCUCAUCUCCAGAACUUAUGCAUUUAUAAUAAUAGCGAUAAUUUAUGUCAAGCUAAGGUGAAAAUUAAUAUUUGUACUUGGUUGUUUUGCAACUGGUAGUUCACUGGGAAGACCUGUAAUUGGCUGUAUUCAAUUAUUUGUUGAAUGCUUAGAAGGCCCCUCAGGUAGUCAGGUUCUGAUCAAUUCUUCUUUAGGCUGGUCGAGGAGUUCUUGUGAAAGCAGUUGCUGUAGUUGAAGCUAGUGCAGAUUCUGUGUUCGAAGUGCUUUUGAAUAUUGACAAACAACAAAGAUACGAGUAAGCUCAUUUCUUUGAAUAUAUAGAUAGAUGUCUUUUGGUACUUGGACCUUUCUAACUAUCCACACAGGUGGGAUGCAGUAACAGGUGAUUCAGAAAAGAUAGACUCAUACGAGGGCCACUAUGAUGUUAUUUACUGUGUAUACGAUCCUAAAUAUCUUUCACGGUAUGUUGUUUAGGCAUGUUGUAUAUUUUUUUGCAUCUAUCACUUCAUUCAGUGAAUAGCUUUACACUUACAGUUUUUUCAUUAAACUGAUUGGUUAAAUAGUAUCUUCUGCAGAUGGCAAUCGAAGAGAGACUUUAUCUUCUCUAGACAGUGGGUUCGUGGGCAAGACGGAACAUAUAGUAAGUAGAGAACAAUCUAUUCUAGAUAUUUUUUUCUUUACCAAUCUGGUGUCUGGUUUGUCUAUGCAUAAUGGUAGAGAUUAAUAUAAGCCAUGUCACUAGGUGGUUAGUGAAGUGUUUGGGCUGUAGUUGUAUUUAAUUGAAUAUCUCAAGCUAUUCAUUUUCUCAUGCUGUAUUUUUGUAUGCAGCAAUCUUACAAUUUCCAGCAGUACAUAAGAAACGGCCUCCAAAGUCUGGAUAUCGACGAACAGAUAUUACACGUAAGAUAUUUUCUUUUAACCUUUCUUUUCGUAGUGUUUGCCUUUUUCACUAUGCUGCAUGUCUGGUGGCAAUACAGUCUCCUUGUUACUAUGCAAGUGUUUCCAACACUAAUCUGUUCUGAAUUGGUACUUCUAUAGCCAGAGGUUCUGUGUAUACUUAGUUGCUUGUGCUUACUUGCCCAUCUGUCUCUGCAAUUGUGUUGUGUUCUGCAGCUAGCUUACAAAAUCUAGAACUGAAUUUUAGGCUUGGGGAAAUUUUAUUGGCUUGUAAACCAUAUCAUAUGGGAUGCUGGUCUAGUGUUUUAUUCUACUGUCUUUCCAUUUUUACUUACUUUAUUGUAUAUGUUGCCUUUCUUCUUACUCACUGAAUCUGUAGUGCUCUUGCUUACUGUGGACUUACACAAUGCCUAUCAAGGUAUAUACCCCAUUCUUCUAAAACUUCCAUUUCUUUUUUGUUCUUGUUGAUUUUAGCAUCCACUUGGGAAAUCAGAAGCUUAAAAAAGCGCAGCGAUGCAGAGACUGCAAGUUGUCUUGUCACACAUAUGCUAGAAAUCCACUCUAAACGUUGGUGCAAAUGGAAGAGAACUAGCUACUCAAAGUUUGAAAAGACUAUUCCAUAUGCAUUACUUCUCCAAGUAGCAGGUUAGAUGCAUGACUAUCUCCUUCCAGAUCUUAUUUUAGAGUAUGAACACAAAAAAUGAGUAAGAAGUCGAGAUGUUAUCUUUGUGGUAUAUAUAACAUCUAUUGAGAAAUGGAGACUCUUGUGAGCACAUCUGAAGAUUUAUUUGUCUUGUGAUAUAGAUUAGCGUUCACUAUCCACACUUGUUUGGGAUAAGUAUACAUGUAUUAUGCUUCGUGUUUGCAACAAUUGGAAGUUUCUUUUUUGGGCAUAGAAACUAAUAAGCUUUAGCUGGCAUGCUAUUAAAAGUAUAUGCCUGAACUCUGACUACAUUAGAUGUCACAAGUUCCACACGGGUUUUGUUUCAAGUUCUACAUGGUUUUUGUUUCAAGUUCUUGUUAAUGGUAUAUCAGGUCUGAAGGAGUACAUUGGAGCAAACCCAGCCUUCAAGUAUGAAACUUCUGCAACGGUUAUAGAGUCCAAGUUACCAGAUGUCUCCAAUGGUGAAUAUGUAGAUGAGGAAAUGGAGGAGCAGUUUUAUGAUGCCACAGACUCAUCAUCUGAUGAAGAGGAAAGCGAUGAAGAUGAUGACGAGCAGGACAAUAAGGUAACUACUUGGUUUUGAUAUCUUCUUGUCAAUAUAGAAAUUUUUUUCAUAUUUACAAAAUAAAGAAUCAUGGAGAGAAAUAAAACACUCAGAAGAUCUUCUUAAUCUAAUCCUUAACCAGAAGGAUUAAAAUAAAACACCCAAAAACACAGAAAGCGUUUCUCUUGGUAUAAACAGGUAACUCCUUGGGAAAACUGAUAAACCUCCUAAUCACUGCCUAUACUUCAGCCCUAGAUAUACUAAAAUGAAAAGGCAAAAAGCUGUUCUAAGAUGUUCAAAGUUCCUAAGAAAUAUUUGUGCCCAUGAGGUGAGAAAGUUGUAUUGAAAUUAUUAAAAUAAUAUUGAAUUCUGUUGUUUCAAUGUUAAAAACAGGAGAUAAAAGUAAAACUGAAGAAUGUUUCAUGGGCAAUUGCUAGUUUAUCUUUGAAGCGGCCUAAAGGUUUUCUCUUUACUUUUUUUGCUAGUCCAUUAAGUUUUCCAACGACUAAGUAUACCAAUGACUCACAUAGGUAGUAUAAUGGAAUCAAUAUAUGUAUGAUUUAUAUCUAUAAUAAGUAACUUGAGGACCUCUUAUCAGUAUUUGUUCCCAAAGUUAAUCAAAAGUUUCAGAGUGUAUGGCUUGAUAUGUAUAUGCAAGCAUUUUGUUUACAAAGAACUACUUUAUUUAGAUGAGAAUGAAAAAAUCUAUAUAGGUGUUGUAGUUACCAUUUUGUAACUAGUCCAUUCUUGAGUUCUAUGUCAGGAAAAAGGGAACAACUUGUAAAUAUACAAACAUUUAAAACAAAUUAGAAUUAAAAAGCAUUUUUCUAUAUUGUUUUACAAUCUCAGUGUGCAUUAAUAUAGCAGCUCUAUUUUGACAUUAGCUCCAGGCGCAAGUAAUGUAUUAGACGCUAGUGUUGGUCCUGUGACUAUCGACCCAAGUCAGUUCCAAGGAUCCCUGCGCAAAGGAAAUGGUGAUAAGGACUCAAAUUGCUGGAACUCUCCUAGUGGCAUGGGGUUUAUGAUUAGGGGAAAGACCUACCUAAAAGAUAAUGCAAAGGUAACUUUGAAAUUCUUGCACCUACGUUAAUAUUCUAUAGUUGAUUUCAGACAUUGUUUGAAAUGGAAUAGAAAACAAUGAGGGGCAUGUUUUGUAGAAAUAUUCUCCUUGACUUAACGAUAUUACUCAACUUCUUCUGAUAUACUGAUUUCAGUUUCUUUAUAUCUCUCAACUUAGGGUACAACUGUGCGUAUUAGUUUUCCAGAUUGAUUUUCUGAUUCUCGAGUUGGAUUAUCUAACAAAGUCUCUUCAACAAUUGUUUCCUCAUGUUAAACUGUGCAAAUUUAAUCUAUGGUGUAAUUUAAGGUGAUGGGCGGGGAGCCCCUUCUGACACUUGUAUCCGUGGACUGGUUUAAAGUUGAUAAAGCUGUAGACAACAUCGCCCUGCAUCCGAAAUGUCUUGUCCAGGUACUCCCUUGAACCGUCUUUAACUAGCACUUGCGGCCCCCUUUCCUAUUAAAAACCAUUGUUAAGUGCGACUUGUCAUCGGACCUCAAUUUAUCAUCCAGCAUUGUAUGCCAUUUUCGCAUUGUGGCUAAGUCUGGUGAUACUCUUUAAGUUAUCAAUGAGUUGAAGCGUGUAUUAUAUAGUCUCCCCGUGGUUGAAUGUGCCUGAUUUGAAAGUUUUCUCUAUUGUAGUCAGACGCUGGGAAAAAGCUGCCAUUCAUUCUAGUCAUCAAUCUUCAGGUUUGAAUACUAUCUGCAACAUAAACUCUAUAUGUAUAUGUCAGUCUUUUUAUUAAAAGUUUGUUUGAAUAGGGAAGCGCUAAUGUCUAGUUGGAAAAUACCUCAACCUAAAUGAUUAAGCUUUUAAUGAAUAUUGUGUCGCUAAACCAUUCAUUCGUCUUUGAUUAUCUGUAAAAAUGUGUCACACAUAUUUUCUCGUAUUUUGGAAUUGUGAUUGUGAUUGUGAUAGUAAAAUCACAAUUUAUAACCAAUCAUUUUUCCCUACUUAAAGGCUAUCUAACUCUUAUGGGUCAAGUUAGUAUCUGAAAGAAGUCAAAACGUUUUUUUUCCCCCUUUUCAGGUACCAGCAAAGCCUAACUAUUGUCUGGUACUCUACUAUGCUGCGGAUCGACCUGUAAACAAGUCUUCAUCCCUGGGAAAAUUUGUGGACGGGAGUGACAGUUACCGUGACGCAAGAUUUAAGCUAAUUCCAAGUAUUGUUCAGGUAAGUAAACUCUUCUCUUCACGUCCCCUCUGAAAUAUAGUAAUCUUAAUUACAUUGUAACAGCCAUGGUGAAUCACAGGGAUAUUGGAUGGUCAAGCGUGCUGUUGGAACAAAAGCCUGCUUGCUCGGUAAAGCUGUAACCUGCAAGUACCUGAGGCAGGAUAAUUUUUUGGAGGUAUAAUAGUUUCUAGUUUUCUCGUUCUUUCAUUGCAAUAGAUAUGUCCAAAAAAACACAGUACAUGUCCUAUAUAAAGACGCAUGAUCAUGUAGACAAUUAUUACACACAUAGUUGCUGAGUUCUUAUGAAAUCGUGGUGCUGCAGAUUGAUGUAGAUAUUGGAUCAUCGGCUGUCGCGAGGAGCGUUAUUGGUCUGGUCCUUGGUUAUGUCACAAGCCUCAUUGUUGAUCUUGCCAUCUUGAUCGAGGUUCGUUUAGAGUCUCACUGCUGGAGUUAUCAUAUCUUUAUACAGGAGUGCUUAAACUUUUAGUUUGAAUGCAAUCAUCGGUUAGAUAGUUACAUGUUCAACUCCAAAUGCAAAUGCAGGGAAAGGAGGAAACCGAUCUGCCAGAGUAUAUCCUUGGGACAGUUCGACUUAACCGAAUAGAGCUGGACUCAGCCGUAUCAUUGGAGGGUUGAAAUAUGAUCGAGGAAUAAAGAUUUGUUGGAUUGCGACAAUCACAUUGCCUUUCUUAAACUCAUUGAUUCAAUUACUGCAGGUAUGAGAACAGACAAUGCCAACUAAAAACAUAUGUCUUGUCAUGGAUUGCGACUUGUUUAAAUCGAGACAAAAAGAGAUCAAUAAUGAAAGAUUGAACUUCAAAAAAGUUCUUCUUUUCUUUCAGAGAUGUUCUUUACAUAUAAGUUAUAAUUUAAAGCAUUAACAAAGGAUAUGUGCUUUUGUUGCCACAAAACAUUUAAAGAAGCAUAUGCAUAUGUAAACAACGAGAAAUGAGAAUUAUAGAGUUUUUUAUUCAUAGAACAUUGAAUUUAUGUGUUUAUAUGAUGUUUGCAUAAUCAUCCUUCAGCAAUAAGAAACAUGACCCAAAACUCUUAUGGUAUCAAUCUAAAUAGCAUGUGAAUGUGAUACAUAAAGUAAUACCUUCGUUAUGGCUAAACAAUUUUUCAGUAAACUUGUUCUUUAUGUUCUUAAAACAAGUUAAGUCAAUAUACAUGAAACAGAAUAAUAUGAAAACAUCUUAAGCCUAUUGAAAGUUGCUAGAGAAUCUAAUAAUUAUUCAUACAUCCCACACAUCACUAUUUUCCAACAAAAAACAACUUAGCACGUCCUCUAGAUGUAUUUCAAAGUGCCAUACACGAACCCAAGUUGGGAAGAUACUAUAAUAUUUACCCACACAUAAGAAAAAGACUAUAUAAAGGACUUUCAUUUCCAAGUAAAUCAUAACCAAAACAAAGAAACCAAAAGAGUAGGGAUGAGUAUUAUGAUCUCCUCAAGAAUGGUGGGACGAGUGCAUUGCAUGGUUUAUGUCGUGGUCUUGAGUGCCAUCGCGGCUACAGUGACAGCAUAUCCUUACUCCUCCCCUCAAACACCCCAAUACAGUUCUCCGGUUUACAAACACGAAUCACCUUAUUCAUCACCUAAAAAGUAUUCUCCAUACUAUUCGGCAUCACCUCCAACUCCACUACAAUAUAGAAGACAAGGUCCUAAGCACACCCCACAUUCGAAACCAUAUGUUUACACAUCUCCACCACCACCGACUUACUACUCCCCUUCUCCUAAAGUAGACUACAAGUCGCCACCUCCACCAUACGUCUACAGCUCCCCACCACCACCUUAUUACUCUCCUUCCCCAAAGGUUGAUUACAAGUCUCCACCUCCCCCAUACGUCUACAGCUCCCCACCACCACCUUAUUACUCUCCAUCCCCAAAGGUCGACUACAAGUCUCCACCUCCACCAUACGUCUACAGCUCUCCUCCACCACCUUAUUACUCUCCUUCCCCAAAGGUUGAUUACAAGUCUCCACCUCCACCAUAUGUCUACAGUUCCCCACCGCCACCAUAUUACUCUCCAUCUCCAAAGGUCAACUACAAGUCUCCACCUCCACCAUACGUGUACAGCUCCCCACCACCACCUUAUUACUCUCCAUCCCCAAAGGUCGACUACAAGUCCCCACCUCCACCAUACGUCUAUAGCUCCCCACCACCACCUUAUUACUCUCCUUCUCCUAAGGUCAACUACAAGUCUCUACCUCCCCCAUACGUCUACAGCUCCCCACCACCACCUUAUUACUCUCCUUCUCCUAAGGUCGACUACAAGUCUCCAUCUCCACCAUAUGUCCCAAAGACACCUUACUAUUGAAUUGGUUUAUAACCUUGCAUGGUUGCAAUAAUUAUUUUCUUAUUGAUUUUGUCCCUUGUUACACCCUUUUUCUUAUAUUGUUAUUUGAGUCUUCUGAAUUUAUUUUUUUGUUACACUAUCUCUUGAAGAUUUUAUGUAACCUAUAAAUUUUUAUUUGGCUAUUUUUUAAAAAUACAUUUGUUAUUUAAUAUUUGUGCGAAUUAGCUAGAACUUUGCAAUAUAAAACCUAUGUAUCGUACUUGGUAUUUUACUAUACACUACAAUAUAUAGCUUGUGCCUGGUAUUUGGAGCUGAAUGUAUGUGCAAUUUAUAUGAAUCUUAAAAUCUUUGAAGAAACAUGCUUAAUCACAUGAUAGGGAAACAAAAUUAUUCCUUACACUUAAAAGUAUGCAGUAUUCUGAAUUUUAACUAGCUUUAUCCCUUGAGUUGCUUGUUACAAGUGUCUAGCUUUAUAUCAUAAUAUAUAUUGAUGAUAUUAUCAUUGUCUUACCAAUAGUAUUUCUUGGUCAAGGAUAAAUAGUGAGCUUAGCUAUUCUCUUGGUGUUGAAGCAUAACGUCCUAAUGCUAUUCUCUUACUAACAUAUCAAUGGCAUAAUAACAUCAUGGUGCACACCAAAAUGAUUGUAUCAAAGCCAUCCUCAUACCAUGACUAUUUUUCUUUUUAAUGAGAUUAAAUGAACACCAGAUGGUUGUUGGGAAUCCAGAUUCGAGACAGGUCAGUCGCCUUUGCUAUGAACAAACUCUCUUAGUUCAUGCCUUUUCCUACGUCGCUAUCUUGUUCACGGUUGUUUAAUUAUUGUAAUAAUGUUGGUGUCUAAUAUUAAUGAUCUUAUGUUCUGACCACAAGUCAUAUGAAGAGAGAUUGAUCGUACCAUUUAUCACUUCCUUUGAUUUGUCUAAGUGCAUUGAAUUGACAUCGAAUAUUUGGCUAAUCAAUACACUACUCUGAACACUAAUUACAACAAAAUAGAUUAAGUGGAAUCAAAUGACUAAUGAGAGGAAGACGGAGAAAAACGAAAUAGUAGAUAAUCGAAGCCGUUAGAACUUGCCGAAGACGAUAUAUGGAGACCAUUAAGGUGAGAUCGAUGAUGAUAGAGACGUAGAUCGAUGAUGACAAAGACAUAAAUCUAUGAGAAAGAUAUUACAGAAUUAUCCCGCAAAAUUAUCCCGCAUAAGCAAGGGUUUUAAAAAAGAUUUACAAGUGUUUUAAAGGCAUUUAAAAGGGUUUAAAAGGGGUUUUAAAGGAUUUACACGAGUUUUAAAGCAUUAUAGAUGUUUUCAAAAAUUUUUAUUAAAGGAUUUACAUCGAUUUCUAAUGGGUUUUAGAAGUUUAUAUGAUUUUUAAAGGGUUUAAAGGAGGUUUAAAGGAUUUUUAAGGGUUUUUAAAGAUUUACAAGGUGUUUGGGUUUACAAGGAUUUUCAAAAGGAUGUACAAGGUCUUAUAAAGUUUUAAAUGGUUAUAAAAGGAUUUUCAACGCUUUUUUACAAGGGUUUUAAAAAGUUUACUAGAGUUUUAAAAGGUUUCGAAUGAUUUUUAAAGGAUUUAACACGUAUUUUAAAAGAUUUUUAAGGGUUUUAAAAAUAUUUACAAGGUGUUAUGAAAGAUUUUUUAAAGAAUAGCAGAAAAAUUAUGACAGAAAACUUUUGGUGGAUAUUUGUUUUAGCCAGAAAAUUUUGUUUUGGGAAUUUUUGGCGGGAACAAAAUUUUUCGCGGAAAGAAUUUGUCCAAAAAGUUUUUGACGGAAAAAAUUUGGAAGAAAUAUUUCUAUUUUUGGAAGAAAUAUUAUUUUCUUCAUCAUGAAUUCCACUAAAUGAAGAUAAUUUAGUCAUUUUGUACUUAGCAAGGAGUAUUUUUGAAAAUGAACAACAAGACAUAUAUUUUUGCAAAAGGAUAUGGUAAAAAGGUUGUAUUUGCAAAUCCCCUCAAAUUGAAACAAAACUAUAUGAGAUGUUUAUAGGGGGUAGAGCCGAUUGUUAAGAAGAAAGUGAGGAAAUAGGAUUGUUGGAAUCCUGGAGACAAAUGAACACGUCAUGCUCGAAAUCCACGGAGAGUCUUUUUCGAUAUUUUUCAAUCGAAAUGUUUUUUUUAUCUUCUACAUCUACUAUUUUUUCUUAUUCUAGUGCGUGGUAACCGCGUUAAACUAUAUAAACGAGUGAACUUAUAAGUUUGAAAAUUCAGAUUUUUGUCCUCAACUUAUAAACAAUAUAGCAUGUUACGUGAACAUCACCUUCAUCUCUGAAGCUUGCUGGAAAAUCACGUUAUAACGGUUCUAACACGGAGGGCUCUAAUUUUCUUUAGAACUACCGUGGGAUUGAUUUUUUUUGUUAAACCAAAGUGAACCUUUAUGUUUGCAAAUUUCAGAAUUUCAUUUUUUCAAUUUAUAAACAAUAAAAAAAUAUUAAUGGUAUGAAUUUUUGUUUCCAAAAAAAUAAAUUGGCAGCCUAAUUUUUUACAAGUUGUUUUGUUUUACGCAAUCACUUAUUAGAAUAAUGAAUAGUUUUUUUGUGUUUUUAUUUUUGCAAAAAAUGUUGGAAAUAUAACAUUUAUAAAAUAUGGAACUAUUGAAAGGAGAAUCUAAGCGAAUUUAAAGUACUAGUGACCUAUCUUGCUUUCAAUUGUCUCUCAUCAGUGUAACACCGGAGUUCAGAAAUGGGUGGUUUCGAUUGACACCAACAAAUUUUGGUUUGAUCAGUUUUUUCAAAAUCGCAAAAUUGAUUUGAGAGGAUUGGUUUAACCCUAGGGCUCGACUUUUAAAAGAAGAAGAAGUUGACUUUGGAGUGUUUAGCCGCUUUUGUCUUCUUCCUUUAAGAGAAUAGUUUCUAAACAUUCCUAGUAAAAAUUUUGUGAUUUCAUGAGAGAUUUAGGGCUUUUCUUGAGAGUUUUGGUUAAAGGGAAGGGAUAUAUUGUGGGCCCCAUGUUCACCACCAGUCCAUGGGCCCACCUCUCUUAAUGGGCAUCAUGUCCUUUCACUAGGCCCAUAAGCCCAUUAAUAUCCGACGGUCGGUUUGCUACGUCCGAGAGGCUUAAAUACUUGUUUACCGACCUUACAAAUCACCACAUGAUAUUUCCCUCUGUUUUGGCCUCACUCACACAGUUCCGACAACCACUUCCUAGAAUGUCACCCAUCCUAUGACUACUCCUGCAUAAGCACGCUUAACUGUGGAAUUCUCUCAGGACCCUUGACCAAAAAGAUAAGUGCACUUUAGUGACAUAGGUAGCCAAAUCAAUUCAUUUAAACCUCCCCGCAACCGGGGUCUCACAAUUCUCCACCAUUAACUGACUGCAACGUCCUCGUUGCACACAACGAUUGUCACCCCCUGACAGUGUGAGCCCACCACCCACACUUGUCUGGCUUCGGCUCUGAUACCACUUGUAACGCCCCGACCGCCACCUCUCUAGUGAACCCCACGUUCACCACCAGUUCAUGGGUCCACCUCUCUUAAUAGACCUCACGUCCUCUCACUAGGCCCAUGAGCACAUCAAUAUCCGACGGUCAGUUUGAUAUGGCCGGGAGGCUUAAAUACUUGUUUACCAAUCCUAGAAUUCACCACAUGAUUUUCCCUGUGAUUUGGCCUCACUCACAAAGUUCCGAUAACCAGUUCCCAGAAGGUCACUCAUCCUUUGACUAGUCCAGCAUAAAAAUGCUUAAUUGUGGAGUUCUCUCAGGACCCUUGACCGAAAAGAUAAGUGCACUUUGGUGACAUAGGUGGCCAAAUCAAUUCAUUUAAACCUCUCCACAAUCGGGGUCUCAUAAUUCUCUCCCUUUAACAGAUCGCAACGUCCUCGUUGCGCACAACGAUCGUCACCCCCUGAUAGUGUGAGCCCACCACUCCACGCUUGUCUGGCUUCGGCUCUGAUACCACUUGUAAUGCCUCGACCGCCAUCUUUCUAGUGGGCCCUACGUUCACCACCAUCCCAUGGGCCCACCUCUCUUAAUGGACCUCACGUCCUCUCACUAGGCUUGUGAUCUGAUUAAUAACUGACGGUCGGUUUGCUACGUCUGGGAGGCUUAAAUACUUGUUUACCAAUCCUACAAAUCACCACAUGAUCUUUCCCUGUGUUUUGGCCUCACUCACACAGUUCCGACAACCACUUCUUGGAAGGUCACCCAUCCUUAGACUACUCCAGAAUAAGCGCGCUUAACUGUAGAGUUCUCUCAGGACCCUUGACCGAAAAGAAAAAUUCACUUUGGUGACAUAGGUGGCCAAAUCAAUUCAUUUAAACCUCUCCGCAAACUGGGGUCUCACACAUACCGACGCGUAGCGCGGGUUUAUAGCCUAGUAUUAUUUAAAAGUUGAAUCUAUAAACUAAAUCUGUCCACAUGAGAUUUUAAACGACCAAUCACGGUUAACCAUUUAAUUGAUUAACAUUUUUUGAAAUUAUAAAAUAUAUAAACUAUGAGAAAAUAUAGAUAAUGUAUAUAUUCAAUUUUUAACACCCUUAUCUAAUUUAAUCAAUUACGGUUAAUCAGAUUUUAAAAUAAAAGGAAUAAUUCUAAAAAAUAAGAAUUUUUGUUUUAUUUGAUGUAUUGUAUUGGAUAUAAAUGUUGAUUAUCGAUUAGUAAUAUUUUUUACAUAUUUGUUCACGCAAAAUAAAGAUAUUUUUCAGAUAUUAGUUGUGAAAAUGGCGAGUCGAUUUAAAAAACUAAUAUCAACCUUCUUCUUCUAUGUGUUUCUAGUACGAGGUGGUGCAAGUGGAGGAGAUGGUGGUCGUGGUAGCGUAGGAACCGACGACACUAAAUCGGAAACUACAGUGACCGUUGAAAAUAUAGCAAGCGAAAAAGAAAAACAUAAUAUAUAUAUAUAUAUAUAGCAAGCAGUCACGUGUUGCCUGCAUGCAUGGUUUGUUCACUGCAUGGUUUGUUCACUAGUAUAAAUGGGUUCAAUUGGUAACAUAGUCAAAACUAUAAAAAGAAAGCUGUAAGCUAAAGCGGUAAAUUUUUUUUGAAAAACAGUGUGAAGUUGUAAAGAAGAGUGGUACAUCACAACUGUACAAAAAAAACAGAGAGUCAAAAUUUAAUAAAAUUUUGGGUGAAUUAGGUGAAUAUUCAUUUUGGAUUUCAAAAUAAAUAAUAUAGCACAUUGUUUGAAAAAAAAUAGAAAACUAGGAUUAGGCGUUGAUAAAAUUACUCUUUUGGUGUUGUGAGGGUGAUAAAGAUGGGUAGUGGUCGGAGGCGGGUAGCGGUGGCCAACGGCCGGAGGUGGCGGUGGUUGAUGGCCGGCGGCCGGAGAUAGUGGUGGCCGGCGGCUAGAGGUGGCGGUGGGCGACGGCCAAAGGUGGUGGUAUUCGGUGGCUAGCGGUGGCCGCGACUGGAGGUGGUCGUGGCCGGAGGUGGCGGUGGCCAGCGGCUGGAGGUGGUGGUUGCCGGCGGCCGGAGGUGGUGGUGGCUGUAGAUUAUGACGGUUGCUGGAGGAGGUGGUGGUGGUGGUAAGGAGGUGGGGAGUGGUGGUAAGGAGGUGGGGAGUGGUGGUUGUAGGAGGUGGUGGUGUAAAUGUUUAAGAAAUAUGGAAUGGUGAUGAUAAGGUUAAAAUAGUAUAUAUUAUAGAUUAUACAUAGUAUAUCAUCUUUUAGUGGUUAGAGUAGUUAGUUAGUGAAAUAUAGUUUUUUGUAGGUUAGUUUUGCUAAAAUCUCUAAAAAUUUUGUUUAAUGCUUUUGUGAUUGGUAAAAAUUAGUAGGUACAACUAUGUACGGCUUUCUUUACUCCACCAAUCAAACUCAAUAUGAAGACAAAGUUUAUGUCGUAUAUAUUUCUUAUAUAAAAUUUAGUUUCUUGUAUAUUAUAUACUAGGGUAAUAAUCUGCGUUUCGCCACGGUUCACGGGAACCGUAAAUACUGUUUGUGUUACUACUAAUAAUUAAUCCUAAGUAUAAAUACCAAAAUUUUAAUCUUACAAUUACAUGAAUAUUUAGGUUAGGUGUUUAAGUUUGUAUUUUGAAGAUGAAUCGAUUUUGAGCAUUGAUAUUUAUUAAAUUUUCAGUUUUAUUUUUUGUGUUUUGAAAACCGAUUAGAUUACGAAUAUUCAAUACAGAUUAUAAUUUUCUCUAGAUUGCUUUUAUUUCAUUUUCUGUUUUGGUAAUAAGUAAAUUUGCAGUUUACCUAUCUAAUUAAGGUUACCCGUAUACACAAAAUUGUAUAAUUUACAUAUCUUCCAUAAUCAACCUUUGCUAUUUAGACUUGCACUUAAGAUAUUUUUUAUUUUGUUCAGAGUAAUUGUAGUAACUAUUAAUUAAUUUCAAGAAUGAUAUUUUCAACCAUGUUGUUUUAAAGCCAUGCGACGAUAAAAUCGUAUUUGUUUAAGUGAUCAGAAGAUAAGUAUUCGCAAAUGCGCAGGUCAAAUCUUAUAUUAAAAGAAAUAUAUUCUUUAAACAUUGAAAUAUUUUACUUUUGUUACUAAAAGGAUUGUUCAUAUGACAUACCAAAAGUAUUGUUAAUAUAAUAAAUAAAAAAAUUUCUUUUAUAUUUAGAUGGAUAUCUAUGUAGAAUAUAUAUUAACCUUAAUUAAACAUUUUUUAUACAAAUAUAUAUAUAUAUAUAUAUAUAUCUUAUAUAAUAAAGCACAGUUCCUCCAAACUCAUGCUCUAAAGAGCUGACACGUGUCGUCUCUACUUGUUACAUUCAUAAUAUGUCCAUUCAAUUUGUAUAUAUAUAUAUAUAUAUUUAUACAUAAUUUAGUUGUCUUAUUUUCUAUUAUUUUAGUUUUUAUAGGAUUAUUACAUUAUUAGAAAUGAUUAUAUACUAUUUUGAUUUCACAAUUUCAGUAUGUGAAGAGUUUUAUAAAAACAAUUAUAUAAUUGAAUGGAGUUUGUUAUAUGGUUUCAAUAUAAAAAUUUAUAACAUUCAAUACUAAGGUUUUUUAGUUUAGAAAUGAGUUAACUAAAUUUCAGUACAAUAUAUAUUAUUAUGUCAAAUUUGAAUUUCAUUUUUUAUGUUUUCUAGGCCACUACACAUCUUCCUAAUUAAAAUCUUAAUCUUAUUUACAUAUUUAUUUAAUGCAAGAAUUCUAUAGUGGAAAUAGUGAAGCAUUUCAAAUUAUCAACACUUAUAAUCAGCUAAAUUAAAUGAUUUAAUUAUAUGUAUGUUUUUUUAGUGAAUUUAGCUAUGUUAGAGCAUUUUAAUAAAUGUGAGUGGUCGAGCAUAUCAAAGUAUUAUUAUGGUUAUGAAAUGAUAUUAACCUAGGUUAGUAAGAUAUUUUUAUAUAAUUAUUUUCGUGAUGGAGAAUUAAGAUAUUAUAAUAUUUGUGUGGUGGAGAGCAUCAACUAUAUAGUGUUAUUUGAAAAUUUAUUUGUAAGUGUCUUCCUUCCUAUUUGUUUUUUUUUACAAAGGAUAUUUCAUUCAUUUGUUUUAUAUAAAAGUAAAUUUAUUCAACAACCCAUUUGCAUAAUAUAUAUAGGAAUUUAACUCUCCUUUGAUUGGUCCAAUUGGCAUCUUUUCUUUUAACAAAAUUUAAAUUGUAUUAAAGGAUAACAAUAAAAAUUCACAACUUGUGUGUCAUGAAUUUAACAUUUAGACUUUAUAUUCCUUACUAUUCAGUUUUGGUUUAUAAUAUGUCAAACAUUUCCAAUUUAAAUUUAUCUUCAAUAUAAAUGACUUUCUACUUCUUCCAUUCAACUUUGUUUUGUAACAUUUCUUCCAACUUAUACAAUAUUAAUUGUCUUAGAAUUAAGAAAAAGUAAGAAAGUUGUCUUAUAUUGUCUUAGAAUUAGCCACUAUGCUUAUAACACAAAAGAAAAUGACAUAGUUAUAAGGAAUUUCAAAAAUGCCCCAAUGCAAGUACCACUUUUCAAAAAUACUCCUUCUUUCAAACUUUAUCAAAAAGCCACCAAAAUAUUCAAAUAUAUCCAAAUAUGUGUAUAAUCUUAUAAAUAUAUACACGAAUAACCUUUAUAUGAGUGUAAUAUUUUUGUAUAUUUCAUAAAUACCUUAUAAAAACAUUUUAAUAUCCUUAUAAAACCUUUUAAAAACCCUGCAAACCCUUAAAAAAUUUUGUAAAAACGAUUUAAAACCUUAUAAAUUAUUUGGAUAGAAUCUCUCAAUAGUAGUUAUUAUCUAAAAGUACCUUAUAAACCAUAUAACUCUUCAUAAUUUUCAUAUUUAAAAAUGGUAUUUUUGAAAAUGUAUAGACAAAUAAUAUUUUCGAAAAGGAGUAUACCAAAAAGGGUAUUUAUCAAAAAAUUUCUAAUUAUAAAUACAUAUCACUAAAAAGAAAAAACAAAAACAAAAAAAAAAGCUCUCUCUCUUCUCUCUCCCUUCUCUCUAGAAAACCCUAAUUUGUGGCUGCCGUUUGCCUCUCCGGCUUGCCCUUCCGGCGCCGGGGAGGGUUUCUCGUUUCCCUUUAGUUGCUGAGCAGCCUCUCUUCGGCGUUUCUCUUCCCAGCUGUUGCAGCAGUCCUCCUUCCGUUUCUGGGACUAGGUAGGUGGUUUCGGAGUAGAUCUGGCGCGUGGAGAAAGCGAGAUGUUUGUGGUGGUCGUUGGAGUCUCCCAUGGUUUGCGAGAUUGGGGAUAUCUCCGUUCUGUGUUCUCUCUCCGGCGGAUCUGGGUUGAAUGUCUUGUUUUGCGUCGUUUCUCUCCGAGGGUUGUUGGGUUUGCAGAGUGUCGGGGAUCUAAGCUCUCGUCCUUAGGAUGAGUCUUAGGGAUCGGUUUCUGGUGUUUCUUCUGCUGGAUUCGCGGAUCUCCCUUUCUCCAGUCGGUAAGCUUGCUUGCUUCAAUGGGGUGUGGUUUCGUCAGGUGAGUUGGUUAUGGGAUGUGCUUAAUUGUGGGUCUUGGUGCAAUUGGAGGGUUGAGCUGAGUAAGGACUCUCUCUCCAGCAGCGGUGGUGUGGAUUUUCCUUCAUGUGAUGCUUGGCGGUGUGGGUUCAUUUGGAUGGUUGAGGAGACCUUGUGCUAAGCGAUCUCUGUUUUGAAGACGGCAGAUGAUUCCCUGUGGUGUCCCUUCGCUGCUCAUGCAUCCAAAUGGCCGCUAUGGUUUGCAGCGAAAGUCGGUGGAGGGAAUGGAGAGUUCGCUGUCGUCCAGGAGGUUAACUGUAGAUCCCUCGGGAUCUUAGAAGGCGGAUCCGGGUCACGGUUUCAUGAAUGUGGCUUGAGCAAUUACAAUCAAUGAGACCGCCGUGUAUUCUGUUUCCUCCGGACCGGAUGGAUUGAUUCCUUACUUGGAGUUAACGAAGUUCACCGGAUCUAGAAGUGGGGGUUAGCUCUGAGUGUGUUUUUGGUUGCUAGGCACGGGACCAGCACCGUAGAGCCUGCUGUCGGCGGUUAGAACAGACCGGGAGAUUUGUUCCGGGCCAGGUGAGUCGAUGUUUUGGAACCAGAGUCGGAGUCCGGUUGCUUCUGGUAACAGUUCCACUUCAAAGUCUCUGCCGCAAAGGAAUGAGUCUCGCAUCCGCCGGAAUUACUGUUCCGACCGCUGCUUCAGGUCUUUCAGCAGGAGAAGAUCUCAUUUUGGGAUUUGGGCUGUAAUUUUGUUUUCUCCCCUUUAGCCCAAUAAUUGUAUGUUCAAGGCCUUGCCCAUUUAAAAAAAAAAAAUAUACAUAUCACUAUUCAAAUAUCUUUUGUCUAUCUCUUAUAAUCAUCAUUUUUUACAAAAACUU